UCACCUGGUGCCAUAUACCCAAUAGUUGCAAGAGUCAUGGUUUGCUUCAUUACUUCACCUUCUCCCAACAAUUUGGCAACGCCAAAAUCUCCAACAUGUGCAACCAUGUCUUCAUCUAGUAAAAUAUUGCUUGGUUUUAUGUCACAAUGAAUUAUAGGUGUUGGAUGUCCAUUGUGGAGGUGUUCUAUAGCUACCGCAACAUCUAUCAUUAUGUCGACCCUUUGUAUGAUACCAAGGAAACAAUUUUCAGAAUGUAACCAUUUCUCAAGGUUUCCAUUAGACAUGUAAUCAAGCACCAAGGCUUUGAAGUCAACACUUGAGCAGUAAGUAAUGACCUUCACAAUAUUACGAUGAACUAUAUUAAGCAUAGCAUCACAUUCAAUGUCAAAACUCCUAAAUGCUCCCUCUGUUUGCAAAUUGAAAACUUUUAUUGCAACUUCCAUUCCAUCUGAAAGCCUCCCUUUAUAUACAUAUCCAAAACUCCCUGAACCAAGCGUAUUGCUUUCCUCAAAUCCAUUAGUUGCUCGUGAAAGUUCAGCAUGUGAAAUUCUUCUCAGUGUCUUCAAAGACAACAAAUCAUCUUUAACUGGUAGAGCUGUACUCCUUUGGCAUCUUCUAUACAUAAUAGUUAAGACUAUUAGUACUAGGACAAUACCAAUUGUUGGUAAACCAUACCUAAAAGCAUGCAAUAUAAUCAUUUGGGAGUUUUUGUGGAUGUCAUUUUUGCAAGGUGGGACUAGCAAUCUAGGUGGACCACAAAGUGCACAAUUAUUCAUGAAUGAUGUGCUAGAAAAGUUUGAAAAACAUCCUUUGCUGGGAAUUUCCCCUUCAAGUCUAUUGAAAGACACAUUAAAAUACUUUAGAUAUAAAAGCUUUUCCAAAGAUUUGGGAAUGACUCCAGAGAGAUUGUUAUUGCAUAAAUCCAAGAAUUCCAAACUAAUCAACCCUUCAAAUGAUUCAGGGAUAUGACCAUAUAGUAUGUUAUUUGAUAAAUCUAAUGAAACCAAAGUUAUAAGACCCCCAAAUGUGGAUAAGAUAUCGCUCGUGAGAAGAUUCCUUGAUAAAUUUAGUCUCAGUAGACUCCUAAAAUUUCCAACAUCAAUAGCAUGUGAAUUGUGAAGACGGUUUGAUGAUAAAUCUAUUUCUAAGAUAUCUUUAAGACUCCACAAAGUUGAGGGUAUUGUAGAACUCAAUUUGUUGGAACCUAACCAAAGAUAUCUCAAAGCAGAAAUAUUACCUAAACAAGAGGGUAUGGAUCCAUGCAGCUUAUUCAACCCUAAAUACAUCUCGUAUAGUCUCUCCAAACCACAAAGGCUUUCUGGGAUAGGCCCUCCUAAUUUAUUAGAGGAAAGACCUAGAAUUUGGAGAUUUCUCAUUCCUCCUAUUGAUGCUGGAAUCAAUCCACUUAAUUUAUUAUACCCAAGAUCUAAAAGCAAUAGGUUGGUUAAGUUACCUAUUUCCAUAGGAAUAAUGCCUUGAAGCUCACACUCUGUGGCAUGAAAGUAUUGAAGGGAUUUUGAAAGGUUCCCGAAAUAAGUAGGAAGAACGCCACUCAAUGGAUUUCCUGAAACAUCUAUUAUGCUCAAAUUCCUACAAUUCGUCAAAGAAGAAAGAAAGCUCCACUCAUGAUCAGUAGCAGAUCCUGUGAUCAAAUUAUUGUCAUAGAUUUGGAGCCAUACAAGUUGUCUUAAGCUGCCAAGCGUUUUAGGGAUUGGGCCAGAGAAUGAGUUAUCUCCCAAGUCUAGUUCCUUAAGCAUGGAAGCAUUGGAGAUAGAGUUGGGAAUGUUUCCGCUAAGUUUAUUUCCCCACAGUAAAAGAAUCUGAAGCUUUGGAGCAUUGGUAAUGGGUGGUAAAUUACCUGUAAAAUAGCAUCUUUUAGAAAACAUUCACAAAAUAUAUAAUACAUUAAAAUAAAAACUUUAAAUCAAUUAAGAAUAAAAUUUUGGCAUGGAAAAAUGUGAUGAAAUCAAUUAGAAAGUUGAGACAUAAUAAGAAGUUUUGAGUAGUAAUUAGUCCUUGUGAUUUGUAUAGACAAAACAUAUAAUACACUGAUAAUUUUUUUAAAAUAUUGUAAAACCUGAAAUAAAAUAAAAAAUAAAAGUUUGGCACGAGAAUGUGGCAUCUAAUCAUUCUUAAAAAUAAGACUAACAUUAAAUAAUAAUUAGUUAUGAUUUGAGAAACAAAAAUGUUAAAGAUGUAAACUGGUAUGAUUUUUAUCUAUUGGGUUAAUUAUUUAUUUUUAUUAAAUUAUAUAUAGUGUAAAAUUUAAAGAUUAUUAUUUGCUCAAAAUUUUUGUAUUUUAGGAUUUUAGGAUCGCAUUUAAUUCAAUUGUAUUUAAGACCUCAUGAAUUUAUUCUAUAAUUUGAGUCUUUUCAACCUUUUGGGAAAUAAUAAAACAUCGACAUUAAACUUGUUGUUGAUGCAUUCAAUUUGAUUUUUUGAGGGGUCAUUGGAGUUAUAUGUGAAUUUAGCAUUGAUUGACUUUUUUAGAAUUAAUCUUUUAUACCAAUUUAAUAACAUCGACAUGUUUUUGGGUAGGGUCGAGCAAAACCCAAUUAAAACCGAUGAAAUUGGUUUAGUUAACUCGGUCAAGUCCAUUAGAUGGAUAAAAUCAAUUUUAAAAUCAGUUAUUAUGGAUUAAGGUAAUUAAUUAUCGAGUAAUGAAAUACAUAAUCAAAUCAAUUGAUUUUGUUAGAAACUAAAAGAAAGUGGGAUAAGCUGAAAACUGAUUGCCCUUUUUUAGAAUUAAGGAAUCAGCCUUUUACAUGUUAGAUAAUAUGAACACCCCAUAUAUAAUAAGAAAAAUUAUGUACGAUUAUUUAUUAUCAUAAAUGGUUAGUUUAAAUUUAAAGUAAUCUAAUAUGUGUGUUGAACUUCAACUAUUACAUAAAGUAUAAGCUAAAUAUGUAUAAAUAUUCUAGAAACCAUUUCUAACUGAUGAUAGGCUAAUUUGAAAUUAAGAUUAAUAUAUAAAAACUAGAUAGUAGGGUUAUAGUCCUCAAACUACACCUAAUUUAAUAAAAUCUAUAGUUUUUAUAGCCUUAAACAUUUAUAGAUUUUGUUAAUUUGGUCCUUACUCUUUAAAAUUACAUAAAAAUUGCAAAAAUAUUUUAGAAAUACAAUUUUUUCGUAUUUUUAAUAACAUUUAUAGUUUUUUUUUUGGUUUGGUAACUUAUCAACUCGACUCUUAAUUGUAACCAACUUUUCUGAUUUUUUCGUACCCUUAACCUAAGUCCCGUUACAACUUUCUAAAGACCUCUUGAUUGGUGUAUCAUCUCGAUUUGUUCUUAUAGUGGUGGGGAUUUGGUUUUCAAGCAAGCCUAUGCUAAUCACAUUUUUCGUUCAACUAUUGAGCACACAGUACUUGAACCUUAAACACUUUGAGUGCUUUGAGUGAAUCUUAGUUAGGGUAUUGAUUAUUGUUGAGUUUGAAUUUUAGGUAAUUAUUGAGAUGGAGGAGAUGCCUAUUUUUUUGUGCUUUACAAAUUUCUGCUUAGAUUGCUUUUAUUCUUUAGUUUCAUGCUAGUUUCAAUUUCCAGUGCAUGAUUAUCUAUAGAUUAUUCAUAAGGCAUUGUCGGUGAAAACAAUAAAUUGAGGGAGAUUAACUUGAAAUAAAUUGAGGGAUAUUAACUUGAAUAAAGGUUGAGAAUUUUGCUUAAGGACAAACAAAUGCUUAAGUGUGGGGAUAUUUGAUAAGUGCUAAAAUUGAUAUGUUUUAACAUCAUUCUUAAUGUGUUUUUGGUUGAUUAUUCGAUGUUAAUGAUGCUCCUAAUCCUUACAAUUCGUGUUUUUAUGCUUAAUAGAACAUUUGGGAGGAAAAUGAGCUAAAAAUGAACGAAAACCUGAAAAUGGGGGCAAACUAUAGGACAUGGGCUGACCUAUUCCUCAUGACCGUAUGACUCACACGAUCAUGUGGUAGGUUGUGUCGAUUUCGUAGAUUUGCACUCUGAACUGUAAAAAAAGAAAAUUUUAGAUUUUUUGAGCAUUUUAAUACGUAUAUAUGAAAAAAAUAAGAAGAUAGGAGAGAACCUUCCUAGAAUAUUUAAGAAAACAACUCCAAAGACACUAUUGAAGUCGACUCUGAAGCAAAUUUUCCUCAAGAUUGAAGAUUCCCAGUUGGUUUCUUAAGAGAUUAUCAUGAGUUUCUUUAUUUCUUCUGGUUAUACUGCCCUUUGGAUGUUUUUAUUUUUAAGCAUGAACUAAUUUUCUAAAUACCGAAUUAGAGAGAUGAACCCUAUGAUAGAUUGUGACACCCCAAACCCAACCGGAUAGACCCGCCCGAAUUCAAAGCAUUUCAUUAGCCACCUAAGUGACUCUCCAGCUAACGACCACCCAAGACACACCUCGACCUUAUAACACCUCAAUCUUAUCUAAUUACUAGUUAUUUAUUAAUGUAGAAGUAAAUUAAUAUGAGCCAAUUUUAAACUUUUUCUAGGUAAUUUAACCUAAAGGCAAUUUUGUCAUUUUACCACCUAAUGUAAAACUAACCCGAUUUUAGAUCUAAGUGUUUACUAACCUUCUUUUAGUCAAAUUAUACAAGCCUAAAAUUUUCAGCUUAAUUUGAGUCCGUUUACUAUGUCUAAUUCAAGUUUUAUUAAUAAGGACUCAAUUGUAACUUAAACAAAUUAAAAUACCAAUUUAAAGAGACAAAAAUUCAAAACUCCAAAACCCACACGGGCAUGUGGGUAAGUGACAAGGGCUUGUGGGAUUGAAAAAUAUGAAAUAAAUUAAUCCACUCAAUUUUCCAACAACCAUGCUAUACUACCAAACCAAAAAAACACUUGAAGUUUUGAAUAGGGGCGAAUCUAAAAAAAAUUAGAAGAAUUAGAAUUAAAUUAUAAAAUUUUGAGAAGUUAAAAUAUAAUUUUAUCAUGUAUUAAUUUAUUGUUUUUUAAAGGGUCCUAAUAUAAUUUUUUUCCCAUUUUGGUUGGGCCAAUACCCCUGCCUGCCUCUUUAAAUUUGCUCCAACACUAAACCCAAUAUUCGAUUUGGAUUAACAACAACAUAUAGGUUAGUAUUUGUGGGAGUUUGACGAAUAAAAAUUCCUUUUUUAGAUGUUUAAAUUAUAAAUUUUUGAAAGAUUAAAAUAAAUUUGUAUUUUUUUAUUAACAAAAUAUAAAAGAAAAAAAAAUAUGUUUAGACAAGCCAAGAGAACUUUGGGAUCAUACAGGUGAUUUUGAGAUGUUAAUGGUUAUUUUGGUGGACAGCGUAAAAAAGAAACAAAUGAUUCAUUAUAUAUAAUAUAAUUAUGAAUUUCAAGCCAUAUAUUGUAUGUUUCAUCCAUAAAAAUUUCAUGGGAGGUCCAAAGGUAAUUAAAUGACUUGUAGGCUUGCUGAAUUUCUUUGAAAGGCCCAAAGGCAAUUUAACAUUCACAAAAUAAUCUCUAAAUACUGUAAAGACAAAUCAAAUCCACAGUAGCAUUAGAGUUGAUUAAGCUAAGCAUUGGCAAAUAUUACUUUGAUUUUGCAUGCAAAAUUGGCAAAACCCCCUCUUACAUUAGAAAAACAACAUAAUCCAUGAAACAUUGAUGGCUCAAUACAAAUUUCAUCGAGAAAAAAGUCUCUUUGUUUUGGAGAACAUGAUAGUAAAGAUGUGGAGUUUCGUUCUUCUAAUUGGCCUCCUUUAGUUUUCCUUGAUCAACAACAAUUAGCCAAAAACACAGUUAGAUUAGAUUAUGAAUGAUACUUUCAACUAUGACAAUAUUAAAUACAAAACACUCUAAAUAAAUGGAAAGUAGCAAAUUAAGACCAUUGUGUUAUACUUGUCUCUGAAUUGAAAGAUUUAGAAGAAAAUAAAGAGAAAGAGUUAGAAAAUACUUGAAAACAGAUAAAACUUAUAUGUCAUUUAAAAUAAAAAAAAUUUCUAUUUAAGCCAUUUAAAAUUUUUAAGAUUUUUUAAAUUUUAAAAUGAUAAAGGUAAAACUAUAUUUUGGUACCCAAAAAUGAUAAAACUUUGAUUUAAUUCUUUAGAAAUUAUAAAAAUAUAGGCUAUUAAAAUGGUGAAAUUAUAUUUUUACUAUAUUAAAAAUUACAAUUUAAUUUCACUUGCUAAAAGGAUUUACUGGCUUCGCCCCUAAUAAAAUCUUUGGCAAAAGAUUAAAAUAAAAUUAUACCGUGAAUGGAAAAAGAAACUUAAGAAAACCCAAUCUCACAAAGAAAAUAACUUGUCCAAAAGCUACCAUAAACCGUAAUUCAUGCGAAGGCUUGUUGCUCAUUUUAUUGGUUUCCAUUUUGAUUUUGCAAAAGAAGUUUGAAUUUUGAAGAGAGCAAAAGAAAAAAAUAGUUUAUUAAUUUUUUACGAAUACCGACAUAUUAUAUACAUGAUUAAAAUUCCAGAAUAGAUUAAAAAUGUUGAAUUAAAGAUAAAAUUAAGUAUGAAUUAAGAACCACAAGUGUACUCAUUACUCACCAUCUCUGUUAAAAAUGUUGUUUAGCAACCUGUGUUUGAUUUUCUUCAGCUCAACCACAACAUCUUUCAUAUCUUUUCUUUCUUCUGGUAACUCAGCUGAACAAUUCAAAGCCAAUUCCAUGAUAGAUGAAAUACAAUUUGCUUUAACAACAAUGUACUCAUCCUCUCUUCUUAGUAAAUCAACAUCUGCAAUUUCUAUUGCUCCUUUAGGCAAUGAACUUUCCAUCCAAUGCCUUACAGUCUCUUCUUCAACAAAAACAUUAUCAGUUGGCUUUUUCUUUGUGAAAGUUUCUAUAAGGACGAUCCCAUAACUAUAGACGUCAGAUUUUAUAGAAACAAUUCCUGCUGAUCCAAAUUCUGCAUUUCAAGUAUCAUUAGAACAUCAUUCACCCUCAAUUAUUUCUAAAAUGCUUAUUCAAAUAUAUAUCCGCAUACACAAGAAACAAAAAUAUAAAAUGCAAAUUAGGAAAAUAAUCGUACAAAAACAAAAAAGAAUUCACCUGGUGCCAUAUACCCGAUAGUUGCAAGAGUCAUGGUUUGCUUCAUUACUUCACCUUCUCCCAACAAUUUGGCAACGCCAAAAUCUCCAACAUGUGCAACCAUGUCUUCAUCUAGUAAAAUAUUGCUUGGUUUUAUGUCACAAUGAAUUAUAGGUGUUGGAUGUCCAUUGUGGAGGUGUUCUAUAGCUACCGCAACAUCUAUCAUUAUGUCGACCCUUUGUAUGAUAUCAAGGAAACAAUUUUCAGAAUGUAACCAUUUCUCAAGGUUUCCAUUAGACAUGUAAUCAAGCACCAAGGCUUUGAAGUCAACACUUGAGCAGCAAGUAAUGACCUUCACAAUAUUACGAUGAACUAUAUUAAGCAUAACAUCACAUUCAAUGUCAAAACUCCUAAAUGCUCCCUCUGUUUGCAAAUUGAAAACUUUUAUUGCAACUUCCAUUCCAUCUGAAAGCCUCCCUUUAUAUACAUAUCCAAAACUCCCUGAACCAAGCAUAUUGCUUUCCUCAAAUCCAUUAGUUGCUCGUGAAAGUUCAGCAUGUGAAAUUCUUCUCGGUGUCUUCAAAGACAACAAAUCAUCUUUAACUGGUAGAGCUGUACUCCUUUGGCAUCUUCUAUACAUAAUAGUUAAGACUAUUAGUACUAGGACAAUACCAAUUGUUGGUAAACCAUACCUAAAAGCAUGUAAUAUAAUCAUUUGGGAGUUUUUGUGGAUGUCAUUUUUGCAAGGUGGGACUAGCAAUCUAGGUGGACCACAAAAUGCACAAUUAUUCAUGAAUGAUGUGCUAGAAAAGUUUGAAAAACAUCUUUUGCUGGGAAUUUCCCCUUCAAGUCUAUUGAAAGACACAUUAAAAUACUUUAGAUAUAAAAGCUUUUCCAAAGAUUUGGGAAUGACUCCAGAGAGAUUGUUAUUGCAUAAAUCCAAGAAUUCCAAACUAAUCAACCCAUCAAAUGAUUCAGGGAUAUGACCAUGUAGUAUAUUAUUUGAUAAAUCUAAUGAAACCAAAGUUUGAAGACCCCCAAAUGUGGAUAAGAUAUCGCCCAUGAGAAGAUUCCUUGAUAAAUUUAGUCUCAGUAGACUCCUAAAGUUUCCAACAUCAAUAGCAUGUGAAUUGUGAAGAUGGUUUGAUGAUAAAUCUAUUUCUAAGAUAUCUUUAAGAUUCCACAAAGUUGAGGGUAUUGUAGAACUCAAUUUGUUGGAAUCUAACCAAAGAUAUCUCAAAGCAGAAAUAUUACCCAAACAAGAGGGUAUGGGUCCAUGCAGCUUAUUCAACCCUAAAUACAUCUUGUAUAGUCUCUCCAAACCACAGAGGCUUUCUGGGAUAGGCCCUUCUAAUUUAUUAGAGGAAAGAUCUAGACCUUGCAGAUUCCGCAGUCCUCCUAUUGAUGCUGGAAUGAAUCCACUUAAUUUAUUAUGGUCAAGUUCUAAAACCAAUAAGUUGGUUAAGUUACCUAUUUCCAUAGGAAUAAUGCCUUGAAGCUCACAAUUAUAGGCAUGAAAGGAUUGAAGGGAUUUUGAAAGGUUCCCAAUAUAAGUAGGAAGAACGCCACUCAAUGGAUUUCCUGAAACACCUAUUUUUCUCAAAUUCCUACAAUUCGUCAAAGAAGAAAGAAAGCUCCACUCAUGAUCAGUAGCAGAUCCUGUGAUCAAAUUAUUGUCAGUGAUUUUGAGCACUUCAAGGUGUUUUAAGCUGCCAAGCAUUUUAGGGAUUGGGCCAGAGAAUGAGUUAUCUUCCAAGUCUAGUUUCUUAAGCAUGGAAGCAUUGGAGAUAGAGUAAGGAAUGUUUCCGCUAAGUUUAUUUCCCCACAGUAAAAGAAUCUGAAGCUUUGGAGCAUUGGUAAUGGGUGGUAAAUUACCUGUAAAAUAGCAUCUUUUAGAAAACAUAUUCAUUGAAUACCAAAUUCACAAAAUAUAUAAUACAUUAAAAUUAAAACUUUAAAACUUUAAAUCAAUUAAGAAUAAAAUUUUGGCAUGGAAAAUUGUGAUGAAAUCAAUUAGAAAGUUGAGACAUAAUAAGAAGUUUUGAGUAGUAAUUACUCAUGAUUUCCAUAGACAAAACAUAUAAUACACUGAUAAUUUUUUUAAAAAUAUUGUAAAACCUGAAAUAAAAUAAAAAAUAAAAGUUUGGCAUGAGAAUGUGGCAUCUAAUCAUUCUUAAAAAUAAGACUAACAUUGAAUAAUAAUUAGUUAUGAUUUGAGAAACAAAAAUGUUAAAGAUGUAAACUGGUAUGAUUUUUAUCUAUUGGGUUAAUUAUUUAUUUUUAUUAAAUUAUAUAUAGUGUAAAAUUUAAAGAUUAUUAUUUGCUCAAAAUUUUUGUAUUUUUCGUAUAUUUGAAAUUUAAUCUUUAUAUUUUUUAUUUUCUGUGAUUUAGUCUCUCUACUUUUUGAAUUGAAAAUUUUAAGUUUAUUUAUUAACACUGUUAAAAAGUUUUUGUGUUAGUAUGGCAUUUUGAAAAAUAAAAUAAACUUGAUAUCUAUGUUUUUAAUUAUUCCAAAUACUGUUUUACUAUUCCAAGAUAAAUUAUUUGUGUCUAGACCAAUAUCUUAAGAACUAUUGUUGCAUGUUUAAUUAUUCUAAAGAAUUGUUGAUUGAGUCUUAGUUGAAGUGCACUAUUCUCCUAUUUAUGAAUUGGGGAGUUGAUAAAGUACUAAAUUUUGAUAUAUUUUAAAAAAUUAAAAAUUUAUUAAAAUAUUUUUAUAAAAAUUAAUUGUACCAAAAUAUACAAUUUUAAUAUCAAAUUUUUAAUUUUUUUAAAAAUAUUAGCGAAUAUAUACUUUAUUUCAAGUUACACAAUUUUUACUAGUUUUUAACUUUUUUUUUAAAUUUUUAUCGUCUUUUAUAAUUUCAUAUAUUUUUUUAUAAUUUUUUACAAUAUUUACAAUUUCUAACAAUUUUUAAUAAUUUUAUUAUUUAUUAUAAAUUUAAAAAUUAACAAAUUUUUAUUUUUUUAAAACAAUUAUAUAUUUAUAAUGUAGUUAUUUUUUUAUAAUUUUUUUUGAAAUUUAAAGAUUUUUUUGGUUUUUUCUAGAUGAUGAUGCCAUCAUGAUGUCAUCAUAUGCCACAUGGCAAUUUAUAAUUAGUUGACUAUCUCAAUCUAUUUUUUUAACGUCCAAUGGACUAAAACAAGAACACCUGAUAAUGUUAGAGACUACACUAGGAAUGUUUGAUAAUAUUAGGUACUAAAGUGGGCAAAAAAAAUUAAGGACUAUAUUAAAAAUAUAUCUAUAAUAUAUAUAAAUGCAUGGAUUUUGAGAAACUUUUGAAAUGACAAAUAUAUAGUCUUUGUUUUUUUUUACUAUAUUAUUGAAUUUUUUAUUUUAAAUAUUUUUUUAUUACUUUUAAGAUUUAUCAUAUGUAUGGAUAAAAAUUUUGGUUUUACUAAAAUAUUUGGUUAAAUAAAUUCACUUUAUAAAAAAAUUUAGCAUCCUUAUAAAUAACAAUUUUGAUUCCAUUAAAAAAAUUAUUUAAAAAUAUAUAAUAAAAAUUUAAAAUUUAUAUUGAAUCACUUUAUACUUAAAUUAUUAUUAGAAACUUUAUCAUACACAUAUGUGUAUGAGAACCACGUUUUCAGAACUUAAAUUUGUGUUCUAAAAUAACUUAUGAUAAAUAAUUAAAUGUAUAAUUUGAAAUUAUAUUGAAAUAAAAAUAGAUUAAAUUGUAAGUAAAACAUAUAUAAUUUAAACAUAUGAAUACAUCAAAUUAAAAAUACUAAAUGAAUACAUUUAUUUAUGAUGAUGUUGUUGUCAAUUCAUAAGUUGGUGUCGAGUUAAUUUGUGACAUCAUAAUUUUAAGUGAUAAAUUUAAGGUUUUAUGUAUUGAUGUCGAUUCAAAUAUCACCAUAAUUUUUUUAAAUAAAAAACUAAAGCACCCUCAAAUAAUAUAACUUAUAUUAAAUAUGAAAGGGUAUUUUUGUAAUUUCUCUAACGAGUUGGUGCCCGGUUGACUCAUGACACCAACUCAAUCAAAAGCUUCAAUAAUAAUAUAGAUAUUCACGUUUAAAAAAAGUACUUUAGUUCGAAAUAAUUAUGUAACAAGUAAUUUUAUAAUUGAUGAAUAAUUUUAUAAAAAUAUAUUUAUAUGAUCUAAUAUAUUAUAUUUAUAUUAAUUAUAUAUCAUCUACAAACUUUGAAGAUCAAUUUAUUAAGUAUCAGGAAAAGAAAAAAUGAAAUUGAAUUAACACUAAAUCAAUUUUUAGAUUUUGUACAGAUGAUUUAAUGAUGAUAAAAACAUUAUUAGCACUAUUUUUGAAUUAACAAAAAAUUAGUGAUAUAUUUUAAUUAUAUUUUUUAUUUUUUAUUUUUAAUAAUAUUUUUUUAAUUAUAUGAAGUAAAAUUAUAUUGUAUACUAAAUAUGGUACAUAUACUUUAAUUAAAACUUGAAAAAGUAUUAUAUAAAUUAAUAUAUUUUAAUUAUAUUCAACCAUUUGAAUAACAAAAUUAAAAAAAAACUAAUUAGAAUUAUUUACUUUUUAAAGUUUAAUGGAAAAUAAAAAAUAAAAAAUAAAUCAAUUCAUAUAAAUCUUAUUGUUUAUUAUCAGAUUAAAAUGAUAAAAGUAUAUGACAUACAUAGAAGAAACAAAUUCAACACCAUGUUUUUGGAGUUUGGAAAAAAUUAAAGUGAAAAACCUACCUUCUAAACUGUUGUUAAAUAGAUCUAUUUCUUCGAGCGUAGUUGAAUUAAAAAUACUUGAUGGAAUCUGACCUGCACACAUAGUCGAAAAUUGAAGUGAAAUCAAACUCUUUUGUGAAAAAAAUAUUACCAGAUAAUUCAUUCCAACCCAGGUAAAGCCCUUCAAGCUUGGGAAGAUGUUGACACAUAUCAUUAGGCAAACUACCUGAUAGGCUAUUGUUGGAGAGAUUAAUGGUCUUCAAAGAAGAAAUGUUGAAGAUCGAAGUUGGAAUCUGACCUAUAAGGCCUUUAAUUGCUCUAAUACUAAGCCUUUCCAAACUAAGAAGAUUACCAAUUUCCUUAGGAAUUAGACCUGCAGACAGUCGAAAAUUCAAUGUUUUUCAGCAUAUGUUUUUCAUCAAAUGAAAUAAAAAGUUCUUCCUUUUGUUAUCUAUUACAAAUCAAACUCUUUUAUAAAAAAAAUACUUUAAAUUCAAGAAAUCAAGGAAAUUGAUUACCUUCUAGAUUAUUAAACCCCAAAUAUAAUUCUUGGAGUCGUGUUAGAUUUCCAAUACUUCUUGGAAUGAUCCCCAUAAAUUGAUUAUAGGACAACGACAAAAUAUUAAGGUUGUUGCAUUUGCCCAUGCCAAAUGGAAUGUUACUAGAAAACUCAUUGCUAUCCAAGUAAAGCCCUUCAAGCUUGGGAAGAUGUUGACACAUAUCAUUAGGCAAACUACCUGAUAGGUUAUUGUUGGAGAGAUCAAUGGUCUUCAAAGAAGAAAUGUUGAAGAUCGAAGUUGGAAUCUGACCUGUAAAGCCUUUAAUUGCUUUAAUAUUAAGCAUUUCCAAACUAAGAAGUUUAAAUCAAUUAAGAAUAAAAUUUUGGCAUGGAAAAAUGUGAUGAAAUCAAUUAAAAAGUUGAGACAUAAUAAGAAGUUUUGAGUCGUAAUUAGUCCUUCUGAUUUGUAUAGACAAAACAUAUAAUACACUAAUAAUAAUUAGUUUGGCAUGAGAAUGUGGCAUCUAAUCAAUCUUAAAAAUGAGAUGACACUGAAUAAUAAUUAGUUAUGAUUUGGGAAACAAAAAUGUUAAAGCCAUUGCUUUUAAUGUAAACUAGUAUGAUUUUUAUCUAUUGGGUUAAUUAUUUAUUUUUAUGAAAUUAUAGUGUAAAAUUUAAAGAUUAUUUUUAUCUAUUACAAAUCAAACUCUUUUAUGAAAAAAAUAUUUUAAAUUAAAGAAACAAAGAAAAUUCAAUAUCUUCUAAGUUAUUCCACUCCAAAUAUAAUCUUCAGUGAAGAAAUCUUGAAGAUGGAAGAUGGAACCUUACCAGAUAAUUGAUUGAAUCCCAAGCUCAAGGACUCUAGAUUAGACAUGUUAACAAGUGUUUCAGGGAUUGUGCCUAUAAAGUUAUUAUUUUUCAUUUUCAGCCUUCGAACUCCCUGUAAGUUCCCAAGCCAUGAUGGAAUUUCCCCAUUAAGACUGUUGUAUUUUAAUCGAAGGAUCCUCAAACGAUGCAAUUGGCCCAAUUCUUUAGGGAGAUGGCCAUAGAAAUGGUUUCUACUCAAGUCGAGAGAGAGUAGAAAUGAAAGAUUUCCAAGGUGUGGAGGGAUACUACCCCUAAGAUUCAUGCUUUUAAGUUUGGAAACAAAUUCAACACAAUGUUUUUGGAGUUUGGAAAAAAUUAAAGUGAAAAACAUACCUUCUAAUUUGUUGUCAGAUAGUCCUAUUAUUUCGAGCAUAGUUGAAUUAAAAAUACUUGAUGGAAUCUGACCUGCACAUAUAGUUGAAAAUUGAAGUGAAAAACAUACCUUCUAAACUGUUCAACUAAAAAAACUUUAAGCAUAUUUGUUUUUCCAUCAAAUUAACUAUUUUGCCUUGAAUGAAAUAAAAUGCUCUUACUUUUGUUAUUUAUUACUAAUCAAACUCUUUUCUAAAAAAAAACUUUAAAUUAAGAAACUAAGAAAAUUCGGUACCUUCUAGGUUAUUAAACCCUAAAUAUAACUUCUGGAGUCGUGUUAGAUUUCCAAUACUUCUUGGAAUGAUACCCAUAAAUUGAUUAUAGGACAACGACAAAUUUUUAAGGUUGUUGCAUUUGCCCAUGCCAAAUGGAAUGUUACCAGAUAAUUCAUUCCAACUCAGGUAAAGCCCUUCAAGCUUGGGAAGAUGUUGACACAUAUCAUUAGGCAAACUACCUAGGUUAUUGUUGGAGAGAUCAAUGGUCUUCAAAGAAGAAAUGUUGAAGAUCGAAGUUGGAAUCUGACCUGUAAGGCCUUUAAUUGCUUUAAUAUUAAGCAAUACCAAAUCAAGAAUAUUACCGAUUUCCAAACCAAGAAUUUAUAGAAGAAACAAAUUUAACACAAUGUUUUUUGAGUUUGGAAAAUGUUAAAGUGAAAAACAUACCUUCUAAUUUGUUGUCAGAUAGUCCUAUUAUUUCGAGCAUAGUUGAAUUAAAAAUACUUGAUGGAAUCUGACCUGCACAUAUAGUUGAAAAUUGAAGUGAAAAACAUACCUUCUAAACUGUUCAACUAAAAAAACUUUAAGCAUAUUUGUUUUUCCAUCAAAUUAACUAUUUUGCCUUGAAUGAAAUAAAAUGCUCUUACUUUUGUUAUUUAUUACUAAUCAAACUCUUUUCUAAAAAAAAACUUUAAAUUAAGAAACUAAGAAAAUUCGGUACCUUCUAGGUUAUUCAACCCCAAAUAUAAUUCUUUGAGUUGUGUCAGAUUUCCAAUACUUUUUGGAAUGAUCCCCAUCAAUUGAUUAUAGGACAAUGACAAAAUUUUAAGGUUGCUGCAUUUGCCCAUGCCAAAUGGAAUGUUACCAGAUAAUUCAUUCCGACUCAAGUAAAGCCCUUCAAGCUUGGGAAGAUGUUGACACAUAUCAUUAGGCAAACUACCUGGUAGGCUAUUGCUGGAGAGUUUAAUAAUCUUCAGAGAAGAAAUAUUGAAGAUGGAAGAUGGAACCUGACCAAAUAAUUGAUUGAAUCCCAAGUUCAAGAUCUCUAGAUUAGACAUGUUAACAAGUGUUUCAGGGAUUGUGCCUGUAAAGUUAUUAUUCUUCAUUUCCAGCCUUCGAACUCUCUGUAAGUUCCCAAGCCAUGAUGGAAUUUCCCCAUUCAGACGGUUGUAGCUUAAUUGAAGGAUCCUCAAACGAUGCAAUUGGCCAAAUUCUUUAGGGAGAUGGCCAUAGAAAUGGUUGCUACUCAAGUCGAGAGAGAGUAGAAAUGAAAGAUUUCCAAGGUGUGGAGGGAUAGUACCCCUAAGAUUCAUGCUUGUAAGAUUCAAAGCUAUAACUCUUUUAUGGAGGAUGCCACAAGAAACACCAAUCCAAUUGCAAACAGAGGUUGAGGCCGUCCAAUUGUUUGCCAAGACAUUUUGAGGACCGGCAAUGCGAUCCUUAAACUCGAGAAGUGCAAACUGAUCGGAGUUGAGAUUCCUGACUGUCAUACCCCAGCAAAGUCCGGAACAUGGUAUGAAUAAAGCUAAAAGAAGAUGAAAGCAAGUGUUGUAGUUCAUGAUAGCAAGACGGAAUAAGCCAAGAAAAUAAAAAAAAGUAGGACAAGGGAAGUUGAGUUGAUAAAAUAGUUUGGAUGAUGAAGAAAAGCCCAGAGAGCAUGCUUUAAUAUGUUUUGAAGAAAUUUCAAAAUAAAUUUCAAAAUAAAUUUCAAAAUAAAAAUUUAAAAAGGAAAGCAAAGUUUUGAAGAAAUUUCAAAAUAAAUUUCAAGUCUUCUUCUUUAAAAAAUACGUACAAAGAGCGAAUUUUCAAAAUUUUUCCUAAAUUUUCUUCACAUUACUCCACAUAAUCCAUUAAAAAAACUUAAAAAAUAUAUUUUAUUAAUUACUAUACAUUCUUUUAUUUUCAGAAUAAUAAAUUGUUUAAAAUUUGCUAUUAGUCCCUAUAAUUUAAAAGUUAAAAAAAAUUCAAUCCUCCUACUUUUCUAAUUUAAAAAUUUUAGUUCAAUCAAUUUUAAUUUUAAAAUCUCUGUAUAAAAGGUGUUUUUUUUGUGACCGAUCACACUUAACCAAUAUUUAAAAAUUAAUAAAAAAUAUUUUUUUUUGAAAUUUAAAGUGAUCUAAAAACAUAUUUUUAAGUGCUUUGGACCGUCUAUUGUUGAUUUCCUUAUUAUAUUAAGUGUUUGCAAUCACUCCUAAUAUAUUGUGCUUGAGUUGUGACAAAGCCGAUCAUCAAAUUGCCAUAAUGAUCUAUUGAUGCUGAAAUUGAAGUUUUUGUUAUAUUGAUAGAGCUUGUCCUUCAACGCGUACAACGUGUUUGUUAUUUUUCUCCCUUCAAAUUGUAUGAUCUUAUUCAUUAAAUGAAUUAAUGAAUUUCCCUUUUAAAAAGAUAUAUUUUUAAAAAUUAAAUACUUUAUAAAAUAUUUAAAAAUUUGUAAGCCUUAAAACAAUCAACAAAAUAUUUUUGAAAUUUUAUAAAUAUAUUUUAAAACUAUAGUAACGCUACAAAAUAUAUAUAUUUACUAAUUAUAUGCACCUUUUUUAUUUUUAUUUCCUAACAUAUCAUUAUUUUCAACACUAUCGUAAUCCUGUUUUGAUAAUUCCCUUUCCAUACAUCCUUUUUCUACAUAGAAUUUCAAAAGAAAAUGUGAAUUAAUGUAAACGUGAGAAGACUUAAUUACAUUUAUUAGUUUAUCAAUCAAAACUUAAUUAGAAUCCAUCAAUAUUUCACACAUCAAAAACCCAAACAUAAAAUUCACUUUUAAAUUAUUUGAAGAUACAUUUGUAUUAUAGGAAAUCGAUUAAAUUAGUCUUUUAUUAUUAAAUGUAUUAUUUUAAUCUUUGUAUUAGGUAUGAAUGAUAUCUCCUAAAUUGAAGCCAGAGCUAUUCUUGAAAGACUGAAAUUAGGAUUCAGAUGUGUUGAGAUGGAAAGUGACAACACAAUGUUGAUUGAAACUAUUUGUAACAGGUUGACUACAAUAAGUAGUGCUGCCGAAGUAAGACAGAUUCACGAUUGGUGUUCCAAAAAUUGGGAAGUCAAAUUUAGACAUAUUCAGCGGAAUGCCAAUAAAGUUGUUGAUUGCAUAGCUAAGGCAAAUGGAGGCGUAAUUGAGCAGCUGGUUAUCUUGGAAGAUCCUCUGCAUUAUGUGAGAUGGUAGCUUGAAGAAGAUAUUAGACAGUCACUAGUGACUGAUGAUAAUUUUCAUUUGGACUGAUGAGCGCUUAAUUUUCUAAGCUUAUGUUCAACAAAAAAAAUUUUAACUACGUUUAAAUUGUAAUAGAGUUAACAUUUAGUGUUUAAAAAAUAUCUUAAAAAUUAUUAUUUUUUCCAAUUGCAGUUCAAUUCCACAAAUAUCGACGAUGAAUCCGGACAUAAAAAUUAUAGAAAAAAAACACAUCUAUUAUCAAACCAACAAUCCAUGUCUAAACUUAAAUUAACAAAAUUUGCCACGCAACGCCCAGUACACUAUUAUAUAUAUACUAGAUUUAUUCUAGAUGCACAUGUUUUAUUAUAUUUAAAAUUUAAAAUAUAUGGUUGACUAAGUGUUAGUUGAGUUAGUAUUGCUAUUAUUGUCAGUGUAAGGAAAUGUGAGUUUAAUUGCGCUCAAAUGUGUUUUAUCCUCCAAUUCAAGGGUUAGGAAAAGGUUAUUGAUAAUUAAGUUAUACCAACUUUUAUGAUAUUAAAAAAAGGAUUUAUAAAUAAUAUAAGGAAAAGAAAGAAAGAGAAACAUAUUCAUAUUGAUGGGCUCUUUCAAUAUUAGACUUUUUUUUCUAUCACAAGUAAAAAUAUCAAAGGUGAUAAUAAUUAAAUUAUAAAAUUUAAAUUGAGAAAAUAGGGGAUUGAGUUUAUAAGUUUUAAAGUAUAAAGAAUGAAUAUAUAACUAACAACAUAUUUUAACCACAUAAUAAAAGUAGUUAUGGUAAAAUAAUGACCUGAAUAAUUUUAAACGUCUCAUCCUUGCAAAAAUGAAAUAAUAGAAAAGAAAUAAGUGUUGGGUGUAGUGGCAAUGUACAUCAUACUUCUAAGGGGAGAUUAGGGUUUUAGACAAGGGAAGAAUUUUAAACUUGCUCUUUUCUCUAGAACUCAACGCAAACCUCAAAUUUAUCUUUUUAAAAGAAUUUAAAAAUAUGUAUAUAAAAGGUGAUUUUUUUACCGAUCACACUUAACAAAAUUUUAAAAAAAAAUGAAAUUUAAAGUGAUCUAAAAACAUAUUUUUAAGUGCUUUAGACCAUCCUGUGCUGAUUUCUUUAGUAAUUUGAUUUGUUCAAUAUAGAUUUUGGUAACUUAAAACAAAAUUAAUAAAAAAUUAUUUUUUUAGAUAUCUUUUUAAUGUUUAAUAAUAAGUUAAUUUAUAAAAUAUACUUUCAUUGGACACAGGGCCUCCAAGGCGGUGAACCACUAAUCAAAUUAAUUUUGAGAUACUUAAAUUUGUUUUCAUCAAUUAAGAAAUUAAAAAAAUUGUUGAGACCUCAUGAUUAUGUUUUAUAAUUUCAGGCUUAUCAACUAUUUUGAAAAACAACAAAACGUCUUACACCAAAAACUAAAAAAUAAAAACGUCGACAUUAAAUUUGUUGGCAUGCAAUCAAUUUUAAGAUGGUUUUUGGAGUUAUAUAUCACCUUAGCAUUGACUUACUUUUCUACAGUUUGUCUUCUCCAACAAGUUAAAUAUUUCAAUUUUAACAACAUUGACAGGUCUUUGGGGUAGGGUCGAGCAAAAUUCAAUAAAAACAGAUGAUAUAAGUUGAGUUGGCUCGGCCAAGUCGAGUCGAUUUGUUCAAAUUAUUUAAAUUAGUAAAUUUUAGGGUGCAAUUAGAAUUUUUUGUUUUGAGAUGCUAAUUAGAUUAAAAAAUUUCAGUUGCUAAAACAAAAAAAUUGUAUUUAAAAAGGCAUAAAUUAAAUAAUUAAGUUUUUCGAGUUUCCAUUUAAUCAAAGGUUAAAAGGACUAAAUUGAAGCUUUUUAUUUUUAAGAAAGGCUGAAUGACAAAUUGCCCAAAGCCCAUGGCCCUAGCUAUACAACUAACUUUUCUAUGAUUAGUCCUUGGUUUGCUUUGGGUGAAAUCUUCCAACUAGCCUCAUCCUUGGUUUUACUUUCCAACAAUUAGUGUAUCGCGGGUUUUGUUUUCUUUAAAAAAUAUUUGUGGAUAUUAGGAGAUAAUGAAAAUUAUUUUACUAUGAAAUUUUAAUAAAACUGGAAAAUAAGUAAUUUAUUUUAAGAGAUCACAAUUAAACGUUAGAUUUCCCCUUUUUAAAUUAUAAAUUUUUUUUUGACAAUUGCAUAAUAUUUUGAGCGUUGUAGGAAUGCCAUAAUAUAACCUUCCCUACGCAUAAUCGACUCUUGAGCAUGAUGGAUCCUAGACCUUCUCCUCUAUUCUCGUACCACAAAUUGCUUCAAGUGUGGGUUCGAACAAUCACAAAUUAAACGCAAAACCAAAAAUGAUUUAUUACUUUCAAUAGCAAAGUAAUUCUCUCUCAAUAGAAACCAAUAGAAUUGUAAUUCCUAGAAAAUAAAAUUUAUUUUUUGAAAAUAUAUUCUCACUACUUUCUAGCAGAAUAACAAUAUGUGAAACUUAUGUCUUGUGUUAAUAGCUCUACCAGUACUAUCUAUUUAUAGGGAGAGACACGAGAAUCCUGGUUGAAUUAGUAAAACACGAAUAAUAUUUAUUUCAUAGAAAACAAUAUUCCACCCUAAGUAGAUCAAGUUUGUAUGACGCAUGGAUCAAAGCUCAAUCUAGGAGAAAAAAAACAAAGGAAUUUUCUUUGUAAAGAAAAUUUGAGAUUGUACUAUUUUCAAAGUUAUAAAUAAAAUUAUACGCCAAAUUUUCAAGUCAAUUUUCAACUCCAAUUUUGUAUGCACAAAUUUCUAAUACACUUGGUGGGACAUUCUUUGACUUUUAUCUAUUCUCUCAAAAAGUUAAAGUUCAAAGUUACAUUAAACUCAAAGAAGAUAUUCAUUAGUAAACCACCUCACAAGCCUGCUCAAGCUAAUCCUACAACUCGUUCCACUUCAUCAUCAAACACCAAUAUUCUUGCUUAUCCUUAUGGAAUUAAACAGUCUCAUUUUCUGCAUUUUGGGUACACACUUAGUUUUGUUUGAUGCUAAAACAGUCCCCGAGCACUCCAAAACCUAUAAUUGAACAAAUAAUACUAAUUUAAUCUUACAUAACAUGAUCCCAAAUUGAAAUUGUAUCGAGGUUUUAACCCAUAAGUGACUAAACCUUACCUUCAACCGAUGAACAGUAAUUCCCACACAAACUAAGACUCCAAUUGGAGAUUACGAGCCAUUGAAUCCUCCCCUAAUUGGCAUAAACAAAACACUUCAAAAGAAAGUUAACAAAUGGAGACAAAUCACUUAUCUAAAACUUACCGAACGAUCACAGAAAAACGUGGAGUGACACGAGGCAGAGUGGGAAAAGAAAAAUCAAGAGGAUGAAGGGUGAAAGAGAGCAAAAAUUCGGUAGCAAUGAAGAGAAAAACAGCAAGAAAGUGGAGGGAUUUUAGGGAAAGUAAAAAAAAAGAUGAAUAGAAUAUUUGAUAACUACCCAAUCCCUUAUUUCUCUCUAUCAAACUCCCCACUAAAUCCACUACUCGAAUUUUUAGUCCAUCUCAAACUCUCCUGGACGCACGAGCAAAAAAUAAUGACCAUGCCAAAAUUUAAACAAAAGACCUCCUUCACACCAACACUCCACUUAUCCACCAGACCAAUAGGCUCAUUCUUUUAAUUAUUUUCCAACUUUUACUUAAAAGCCUACUGACCAAAGAUAGGGCUUAUUCAUAAAAAUACCAAAUUUUGCCCAAGACCUGGCUUGAACUUGGGACCUCUCAAACACACCCAGAACACAUAACCACUAAAGCAGACAGAAAUUUUGUGUCACACAUUCACAAUACCCAAAAUUAAAAUUUUAGGGCGUUACAAAAACACAUUAAACAAUAUCGCAUAAAACAAUCACAGUCAGAUAACAAUUCAGAAUGUCGAUUUUACAAUUUAACCACCAAUAGUAUCAUAGUAUUCACAGUUGUAAUUUCAGAAUAUCAAAUUUCCACAUCAUUCACAAUAUUCACACAUAUAUAAAUAUAUCAUAAUAGAAUUCUAGAUUUGUAUGCACAUGAUUUAGAAGAUGCCAUACAAUUUUGGGUUUUAACAGAAUAAAUCCUACCCCACAUUACAUACCAUAAUGGGAGUUCCCCUAAACUCCCUUCUCCAACACACUAGGUUGUGGAUAAACCACUAUUGGUUCACAAAUAAUAACUGUCAUUUGGCUGUGGACACAUAGCAAGUCCCCGCAAUUGGAUUCUAGAUUUGGUUGUGGAUUCACAGCAAAAAAAUCCUACAAAUGAAGCCUGCUUUUGCCUGUAGAUUAUACAACAUAUACCCGCAGUUGGAAUCUGUCUUUGGCUGUGGAUGCAGUGUAACACCUCAAACUCGACCUAGACGUUAUGGCUAAAUCUUAAUGAUUUACUUUAACUCGCUAGAAAGCCCACGAAUUUACUUUAAAAUCAUGUGGUUAAACUAGUGUUCACUUUGAUAAAUCGUUUUCCAGUUUUAGAGAAAAUUCUUGUUAAAACUGUUACUUUAUUACAAUAAAACAUUGAAGUAAUUGUAUCAUUUUGUAGUGGAAUCUACUAAGCUAUAAGGUUUUGAAAAUCGUGAUUUAGUUUGAAACAAAUCAUUUUGCAAAUAGAAAUUUAAUACUACUUAAUUUGGAAAAGCACGCUAAAACGAAAGCAAAGUCCAAAAUAAUUUACGGUUUGAAAUUCUAAAAAGCCCAAAUUAGUCAUAAAGUCUAUUUAAACCAAUUUAUCGAAAGUGUAACACCCUAAACCCGGCCUGUAUGUUAUGGCCAAAUCUAGAUGUGUUACGAAAAAAAGUUUAUAAAACGACUUCCUUGUUAUUGGCAAAUCAUCGUAGCCAUUAUUACUUAGUAUAUCUGAUUUGUUUGGAAAACUUAUUGAUAUACUUAUUUGAUUUAAAAUCGUUGCUCACUUACGCCUUUUUAUUAAACCAAAUAUUUUGCAGCGGAGUUUCUUUAAAACAUCAUAUUUUGGAAAAUCAAAUUGUUUCUUGAAAAUCGUUAUUUUAGAAAAGUUGUCAUUUUCAGAAAAAUUAUUUUAUCAGUUGUUAUGCUGAGAAAACAAAAUAAAAUCCAAAACCAAAAAUAGUCCCAAAAAGUCUAGAGAGUCCCAAAAUGACAAUACUCUUAAAACUAGACAAGUUUAAACUAAUUUUAAAAGAAUGAAAUUUUACAGAAAUGUGGACACCACUGAGCUUCCGUCGCACCGACCCACCUAAAUCUGAGGGUUACUUGAACAGAAUAAACAAACAGAGAGUGAGUUUUGAAACUUAGUGUCUAACGCGUAUAUAAACAAAAAUUCAGAAUCAAUCUCAUGCAGAACAGAUACAAGUGUAAACCUUUUAUAAAAUUAGAAUUAUACAGAUACAAAUAUGCAACAUCCUACCCUCAUCCUCUACACACCAACUCCGACCAUUCUAUCACACCACGUGGGGUAUAAAAUACCCACCCAGCCCUACACACCGUAUAGUAUUUAUAUGACACUUUUUGGAAUAAUCGCAGCAGAGUUGCCAGUAUAUAGGCGAGAUAUCACCUCACACAGAACACUUCCUCCUCAUAAUACAAAUCCCGCCCCAUAGCCAGAUACAGACAAAAUAUCAUGUAAAAUAAAUUAACAGAUACUAGAGUUAACAUAUCACGCAUGAGCGUAUAAUAGAUAUUACACAUGCUUAUGCAUAACAAAAUAGAUCAUACAUAUUGUAUUCCAUAAUACUCAUAUAAAUGUUAUUUACGUCAAUCUCAAUCUAAUAGAGUAGCUGAUUUCAUGCUUUAACUCUUAUACCACACAUACAGACCCUAUAGAAGGCCCACAGUUGAUCGAGACAACAUGUAUGUCCCUAGGGAAAAAAUUUGUAAUUUGGGCCCAUAUGCAUGUAUGAGCCCACACACCCAAAAUGGCCUUGCCCAUGUGGCUCACCUACCUAGCACUCAGCCCAUACGGUCCAAAAUGGCCUAGGUCGUGUGUCACACACAGCCGCAUGUUGCACACAGCCUACCACAUAGCGAGUCACAAAACCGUUUGGAGUUGACAAGCCUAAUUUUUGGCUUUCGUCAAUCGUCAUUUUCUUACGUUUUCAUUACACACUUGGUUUGAUUCUGACCCAAAAGCAACCCUAAGUCCACCGAAACCUAAAAAUAGCAUUCCAAUGCCCAAUUUCAGUGAACAUUUACAAAACUUAAACAAAAACUAUCCAAAAACAUAGCCUCACAAUAGCAUCCAAUGCACUCGCACACUUACCGUCAACGAAUAGGAAACACCCAACACUCAAUUCGUUGGCGGAGCACCAAUUAUGAUAAUGCAAAAAUUUUAUGGAUUCUCAACACUAUCGAUCCAAAUGUAAGAUUGAUGCUUUCCAAUUAUGAUAAUGCAAAAAUUUUAUGGGAUGGUUUACAUGAAUUUUUGUUGUUGUCAACGAUCAAUGUAUUCAAUAAUUAAAAGAAAAUAUUAGUCGUUGUUAGAAAACCAAUACUAUGAGUGUUGUAGUUUAUUUCAGUAAAUUAAAGGUUUUGUGGGAUGAACUAGACAAUCAUGAACAAUUGAUUUAUUGCAAGUGUGGACAAUGUUUAUGUAACUUAGGGAAGACGGAUGAACAAUGUCGUGAGCAUGAUCGACUUCAUCAAUUACUUCUUGCUCUCUAUUCUAAUUGUUAUGCUCAAACUAGGUUUACAUUGUUUUACCAAGAUCCUUUGCCUUCCUUAAAUCAGGCAUUCCAACAAAUUACUUAGGAGGAACAUGUACGUGGAAUUACACUGAUUAAGGAAGAGAAGUCUGAUAUUUUAGGCUUUGCUUUGCAUACAGAAGGUCAUAACAAAGGCCGAGCUAAUUGUAUUGAUAAGUCAACCUUGUUGUGCACUCAUUGCUAUCGCAAAAGGCAUGAGAUGGCUACCUAUUUUGAAUUACAUAGCCACUUGGAUUGGCGGCUUAAGAAGUAUGGGAAGCCAGAGAAGAAAAGUGAUGAUCGUGGUGGUAAGACAAGUGCACAUCUUCCACGUAAGUAUUUUAUUUCAAAGGAUCACAAUUAAACAUUAGAUUUCUCAUUUUUAAAUUUUUUUUAUUUUUUUAACAACUACGUAAUUAACGAGUACCAAUUUUGGGUGUUGUAGGGGUUCUAUAACUUUCCCUAUAUGUAAUCGACUCUUGCACCCUCUUUUUUUCUCUAGAAUUCAAUGCAAACCUUAAAUUUAUCUUUUUAAAAGAAUUUUAAAAUCUCUUUAUAAAAGACGAUUUUUUUAGGUGACCAAUCACAGUUAAGAAAAACAAAUCGGUGGCAACUCCUUUCUAAUAAAUGUAAAAAACUUUUUAAACAAAAUAAGGUUGAAAUAAUCUAGUUGUCGUUAUACUUUGAUAAAAUUUUAGAUUUAGUCCUUAUACUUAAAAGGUUAAAAAUUAAGUCUUGUUUUUAUUUAAAAAUCUUAGUCCUAUCGUUAAUAUUGUUUUUUUUUUGUCAAAAUUUGUCAAGUUGACAUAUUAAUUAGGUUUCUCUUAUAUAUCGUGGUAUAUGACUAACACAAAAUAAACAAGUUGACAAAUUCUACAAAAAAUAUCAAAGAUGAUAAUAGUUUAAUUAAAAUUUUUAAAUUAAAAAAGUAAGGGAUUAAAUUUAUAACUUUUAAAGUAUAAUGAAUGAAAUUAUUGAAAUACAAGAACUAACAACAUAUUUUAAAAAUAUUACUAGUAAAUUAUAUAUCUACAACAAGAAUUGUAACCUCUUAUAUUAUAUUCUUGUAUUUAUUUUUGCAUCUUUCAUAAUAUGAUUUAUUAAUUUUAAUAUUUUUAUAGAAUAAUAUGCUUUAAAUAGUUUUUUGUAUCAUUUAUAAAAAUUAUAAUAAACUUACAAAAUAAUUUAAUGAUAUUUAAUUAUUAAUCGAAAAAAAUGAUAUCAUAUAUAUUAUGUAUAUAUUAAGAUUCCAAAUCAUUAAUUAUAUAUCUACGCAUUAUAAUAAAUUCAUCUUUCAAAAUUUUCCUUAUAAUUAAAGCAUAAAUUAUAUUUAUAAUAAUAUAAAUAUAUUCUAUCAUAAAUAUUCUUUCAAAUAUUUUUUAAUGUUUAAUAAUAAGUUAAUUUAUAAAAUAUUCUUUCAGUAAAUUAACGUGAUGAGAUCGUUAGGUGCUUGGAUUUGGUGAAGGGGGAUGAAGAGAAAAGGGAUGGAAGUGAAUAAAAAUGUUGAGAAAUGGAAAGGGUUAGCGAGGGAAGCCGCCAUGAAAGGUGGUUCAAUGGAUAUGAACCUUCAAGCUUUUGUGGAUGAUGUUACUCAAGGUUGUUGCAAGUAAAUUUAAAAAUGUUUUUAAAUUAUUUUUUUGUUAAAAAAACAUUUUUUACUUUUUUAUGUGGCAUGCCACAUUAUCAUACUAUCAUGUGACAAUUUCUGGUGAUUUCUGUCCGCAACAUUAGUCAAAUCAACUGUUAAAUCGUUCAACUCACAGUUUUUGUUAAAUGAAGAGGUUAAUUGAUUUUUUUUUGGAAUCAUUGAGUACUCAAUUGGUGCACUUUUUUCAUAAAGGCUAAAUUAAUUUUUUAAUUUGUUAUUGUUGAAGGCUAUAGCAAUAAAAAAAAUUGAGGUAAAAAAAUAUUAGAGCUAAAUUUGUCAUUAUGCCUAAAAUGUAAAACCAAAUUUUUUUGAAAAUGAAAAAAAAUGGAAAAUCGCAAAUUCCGUCGCAUAUUUUUGCUUAAAAUUAUAGUUUUGGUCACCAAUCUUUUGAAGUAAAUAUAGGUCACCAAUAUUAUCAAUUUGUUACUUUGUAAUAACUCACCUUAAGUUAUACCCCGACGCACGAAAGGAUUAAAUGACAUUGGGAUACCAUCAAACUUGUAUCUUAAAUACACAUUUACCCCUAAUUUUAUCACAUUCUUCUUAAUUGGUAUUUAUGGUUUAGAAAAUUUUACAAAUAUAUUAUUUUUUAAGAAAUUAUAAGAAGAUUACAAAAAUUCCAAAAUAAUAUAAAAAAGCUAAGGAAAACCUAGAAAUUCAAAAAAAAAAACGUGGACAUUGAAUUUGCUGUUUCACAUUAAAUUUUUGGAGAAGUAGAAUUUUCUAACUUAUUUUCCAUCAACUUCACUUCAAUUUUCAAUCACAAUCUAUUGCAUUCAAGAGCACCACAUCUUUUGGGAUGAAACAAACCUCUCAAUUUUAAGAUAAACGGAAUCUAUUGCAUUCAAGAGCACCACGUCUUUUUGGAUGAAACAAAGCUCUCAAUUUUAGGAUAAACGGGUCUUUAGGGUUAUAAAUUGAGGUCCUUUUCCACAAUUGCGGGUGAUUCGUUGAUAAUAACCUCAACAUUUCUGUAUCACAUUUAAUUCAAUUCCACAUUCAAUUUUUAGUUUUUAGAGAGAUGAUUGGGUUACAACAAUGGUUUGAAGUGAAGAUAUUUCAAAACAAGAUGAAUACUCUACCAAUAGUCAUAAUUUAAAAUGCAGGUUAUGUUUCAUUUCAGCUAAGUUAAAUGUUAAGAUUGAGGUUAAACCUUUUAGAGGUUGCUCGCAAAAGGAUCAAACCUUUAUAAAAUUGUUUAAAUGAAGGUCAAACCUCUUAAAAUAGACAAAUAAGGGCCUAACCUUUUAAAAGGUGUUCAAAUAAGGGUUUCUCAAAUUUUGUAUAUCAGGUUAUGUAUUUUACUCUAAACACAUCGACAUUUACCUAUUUUUUCUAUAAAUUGGGUUGAAGUGCAUGAAAAAACCUUAUUUAAGCACUUCUGUAAAGGUUAAACUCUUAUUUGACUAUUUUGAAAGGUUUGAUCCUUAUAUAAGCAACCUCUAAAAGAUUGAGUACUAAUUUGACAAGAUUGAGAAAUACCUAAAUUUGUUUUCAUGAAUCAAGAAAAUAAAAAAGAAAUGUUGAGAAAUAUUUUAGAGAUUCUUAGCUUUGACAAGUUCCCUCCAUCAUCUUCCUGCCUCCAGUCCCACCUCUUCUCUUAUGCUCCUCCCAGCUUCUUGCUUUUUGUGUGUUGAAAUUUCAAAGGAACAAAAUAUCAACCUACAUCAUAAGGCACGAUUGCCAGAACUUUACUUUCUAGCCUGUCGAUCCGAUCCAAUGAAAGAAGAACAAAGAGUCUCAAGAUCUGUCAACUUUAUUUCAUUUUCAUUUUCUUUGUCAUUUUCUAUGUUUCAUGUCGAAUACAAUGAAAGAACAUAGAAAAAUGUUGCCUAUUUAUUUCCCAAUCAUCAUGAAAUUACUUGCCAUAGACUUAGAAUUUUCUCACCAAUUUUCAAGCAAUCUGACAUGAUUUCUCAAUCACAAUUAAUUGAAUUCAAGAUCUUUUUAGAUGACACAAACAUUUCAAUUUUAACACAAACCAAUAUUUAGGUUGUACUUCAGUGCUUGACAAGCACUUUCACAUUUGUGGGAUAAGAACUCUUAACAUUUUAGGAUCACAUUUAAUUCAAUUGCAUUUAAGACCUCACGAUUUUAUUCUAUAAUUUCAGUCUUAUCAGCCUUUUCGGAAACAAUAAAACGUCGACAUUAAAUUUGUUGUUGAUGCAUUCAAUUUUUUGAGGGGUCUUUGGAGUUAUAUGUGACUUUAGCAUUGACUGACUUUUUUAUAAUUAAUCUUUUAUAAUAUAUCAAUUUUAAUAACAUCGACAUGUUUUUUAGUAGGGUCUAGCAAAACCCAAUUAAAACCGAUGAUAUUGGCUUAGUUGACUCGGUCAAGUCCAUUAGAUUGAUAAAAUCAAUUUUAAAAUCAGUUAUAAUGGAUUAAGGUAAUUAAUUAUCGAGUAAUGAAAUACAUAAUCAAAUCAAUUGAUUUUGUUAGAAACUAAAAGAAAAUGAGAUAAGCUGAAAACUGAUUGCCCUUUAUUAAAAUUAACGAAUCCGCCCUUUACGUAUUAGAUAAUACGAACAUCACAUAUAUAAUAAGAAAAAUUACGUAUGAUUAUUUAUUAUCAUAAAAGGUUAGUUUAAAUUUAAAGUAAUCUAAUAUGUUUAUUGAACUUCAACUAUUAAAUAAAGUAUAAGCUAAAUAAGUAUAAAUAUUCUAGAAACCAUUUCUAACUGAUGAUAGGCUAAUUCGAUUAAUUUAUAAAAACUACAUAGUAGGGUUAUAGUCCUCAAACUACACCUAAUUUAAUAAUAUUUAUAGUUUUUUUUUUAGCCUUAAACAUUUAUAGUUUUUUGUUAAUUUGGUCCUUACUCUUUAAAAUUACAUAAAAAUUGCAAAAAAAAUUAAAAUUAAUUUUUUUUCAUAAUUUUAAUAACAUUUAUAGUUUUUUUUUUGUGUGUGGUUUGGUAACUUAUCAACUCGACUCUCACUUGUAACCAACUUUUCUAACCUUUUUCGUACCCUUAACCUAAGUCCCGUUACAACUUUCUAAAGACCUCUUUAUCAGUGUAUCAUGUCGGUUUGUUUUAUAAUGGUGGAGAUUUGUUUUUUGUAGUGGCACGAUUGCCAGAACUUUACUUUCUAGCCUAUCGAUCCGAUCCAAUGAAAGAAGAACAAAGAGUCUUAAGAUCUGUCAACUUUAUUUCAUUUUCAUUUUCUUUGUCAUUUUCUAUGUUUCUUGUCAAAUACAAUGAAAAAAGAACAUAGAAAAAUGUUGCAUAUUUAUUUCCCAUUCAUCACUCUAACAGGCCCAAUUAGCCCAGGCCCAAACAUUAAUAAAAUGUCUAGAUUACAAAAUAAUCAACUAAAAAUUAAAAGCUCAAAAAAUAAAAUAAAACCCAUUAUAUUAACCCAAAACCCCAGCCCAAUUACAUUGAAACCCAAAAAAAAAAUAGUUUUCAGAAACCCCUAGGGUUUCAGAAGCCCCUCAAUGUUAUUUUGUAUAUCUAUUUAUCUUUUUAAAUUUUCGAUAUUGUCUUGUUUUGUUUUUGUAUUAUUGUUGUUACCAUCAUUAUUCAUUAUUAUUAUUGUUGAUUUUAUUGUUCUUUGAUUAAUGUUAAUGUUAGAGUAAUAGAUGUUAUGUGAUCAUUGUUAUUAUAUGUUAUAAUUUGUUUACACUCGUAUUGUAGUCAUUUGUCAGCUUAAUAUUUUGAGUAAUAUUUUAAAUAUUACAUUAAUUUCGACCCAAAUGCAUAAUUUUUUAAUAAGUAAUAUUUUAUAUUUUGAAAUUUGAGAGAUCAUUCCCUAACUUACGGGGUCUCAAUUUUUUCGAUAAAUCUGAAUAUACUAACUAUUUUCAAAAAAUAUGUUUUAAAAUUAUCUCGGGAAUUUAAAAAGGAGCGUGUUCUAACUUACUGAAUAUGAUCUUUUUUUUAAAAUCGAGAUAAUCAAAUAACUUUCAAAUAAAUAAAUUUUCAAUGUUUAUUCUCAUAUCAGGAUUUAAAAUAUUAUAUCCUAACUCACGGGAUACAAUUCUUUUUCUCGAUUAACAUGAAAUAUGCCCGUUUUAAUUUUAUUUUUUAAGUGAUUUUAACAAAAGGAUUGUAUUUUAAAUCUCUUCAAAAUUUUCAAUUUUUCGACAUUGAGACAUUAACUAAUCAAUUAGGUACCAAUUUUGGGCGUUACGAGGGUGCUAACCCUUCCUCAUACGUAACCGACUCCCGAACCUAUUUUUCUGAAUAUUGAAGGCCAAAAUUGUUUUAAUAAAUUAAACCCUUAAGACGUGACCCCAUCACACCUCAUAAAAAUUAUCGGUGGCGACUCUCGUUUGCGUUUUUGUUUUCGUUUUCAAAAUAAAAGUCGACCCCUUGUUUUAAAAAAGGUGGUUCGAUAGCUUGGCGACUCCGUUGGGGAAAAAAAUAAGAGAGUCAAGCCACGAGUUGAUUAUUUCUUAUUUUUUGUCAGAAAUUGUGAAUUCGAUUUAAAUUUACGAUCUUUUCAUUGCAUUUUAUGGUCUGCAUCAUUUUGAUAUGCUUGCUUUACUGGUUCGAGUCUUUUAAUCUCCGCAUAUUGCAUUGCAUAACCGUUCGGUUAUACCCUUUUAAGUGGGAGUGAGAAACUAUUCAUUUGUGAGAUUUUUACCUCCGUAUAGGAUAGUGGAUUACUUUCGGGAUACAUCCGUACCUAUGUCUUCGUGAGAUUUUCAUCUCCGUAUAGUUAUAGGGAAAUGUAUUCCCCUGAACUGAACUCAGUCCGUAUGAGCCUAUAAUAGGUAAGGAUUGAGGAAUCUGCUGGUUCAGGUACCCUUUCUUUAGAACUAAACUGCAUGUAGUGAGCCCUAAGAGCAUACCGUAGGUAGAACCACUCCAAACCCCUAGUGGUCACCCAAAUAGGUGCUCUAUUUAUUUUUGCUUGCUUAUUUUUGCAUUGUACUAACCUAUUUUUUUGUUAUGAUUGCAUUGCAUUUUCAUCAUAAAAAAGAUGUGUUGAUUCACGUUCAAUUGCUAAAUAGAGAGCUUGUCAUGGAAAACGGAUUUCUUGAUAAAGUGGAAGACAAUGUGGUUAUCCGGAUAUGGUCCAAGAAAAUUUGACGAAAGAAGGGUGAUAGUCUAAUGGAGGACUACACGACCUUGCUUUAUUGCCCGAGGAUUCAAGUUGACAAAGAUUAUUUGAGAGUCCUCAAUGUCCCGACCUUUUUCAAGAAGCUAACGAGUGUCACGAGGAUGAGUGAGUAAUGAGUUGCGGCCCGGAUCAAGCAAAAAAGAGAUAGAGGAGACACCCUUUUUGAAGAGUUCGCGAGAUUUAUAUUAAUAUCAAAAUGAAGAAAAAGAUCAAUGUCUUCGCCUGGAGUAUGAAAGCAAAGCUGUAUAUAUAUCCGCUUUAUGUAAAUAAAUUUGUUUUCUAGUAAAGUUUUUCUAAUAGAAUUGAAUCAGAAUCAAUGUCUUUUUUUGCAUUCAUUCCAUUCAUCUGCAUUGCAUUUCAUUGCAUCCAAAAUUUCACAAAAGGACCCUAAUUAAUUGAAAUUGUUAUAGUUACUCUGAAAACUAAUAAAAAUCUACCAAUUAAAUAUUCCUACGGUACCCGUCGCAAAACCAAAGUAAUGGAUCAAAUAUUAGAAAGAUUAGAACAAAUUCUGAAAGACAAGCAUAAUCGUUUUUGCUUAGGGUACAAGCCAGAUACAAGACAAAGAAGGAAGGAGUUAGAGAAGAAAUAGGAAAGAAUGACAGCAUAUUUGAGCGAGGAUGAGGUCAAAUGGGAGCCUAUGAACUUUCCCUACAUAUCCAAAACUUUUGUAUCGGGAGGGAUUAUUCAUCCCGAGCGAAGAAUGCCAAGAGAAGAAAAUAUUGAAGAAAUGUUGGGAAACGUUCACAUCAAUGCCAUAUACGAAGAAGUAGUUGAAGGAUGGACCUUGUUAGAUAUCCGACCUUAUGAACCUGGGAGUGUGCUAAACAAUUGGACUACAGAAGAAAUUCCUGUAGUGUUUAGACCUUACUCAGAGUAAUAUUCAAAACACACUUGUUGCUUUUAGCCUAGAAGUGAUAAGAAUCCCUCUGUGAAAUAGGCUCAUGUAUAAACAUCAUUAUUUUAAUAAAGUAAAUCUUUGCAUUCAUUUUGAGCAAAUAUUCUUUUAUUCUUUCCAUACGAGUAAUUAUUUUAGAUUUUUCAUUAUUUUAGGAUUUUCUUCCAAAAAUCAUUCUUUUAUUACAUUCAUAAUCAUACUGUACAAAUAAUUAUUCUUAAAUUCAUUCAUUCUUUGUAUAUUCUUUUGUACCUAUAAUAGGUCCCUAGAUAUCAACGACAUGAGUGACGCUGCUACAGACUUAGAAUUUCCUUUUAAACAAGACAUGUGUUUAGAGGGAUCCCAUGACUUUGAAGAUGACGUAGACUGUGGCUUAUCUCCGGACUUGUUAAGGAUGGUAAAACAAGAGGAGAAGCAAAUCCUACUUCACAAUGAAUCAAUGGAAAUUGUGAGCUUAGAAGGGGAAAAUAGGUGAAGAUUGGGACUGACAUUGCCACAAAUACGAAGUAAGACCUCAUUGAGUUACUCUAAGAAUUCAAAGAUAUUUUUGCAUGGUCAUACUAGGAUACGCUCGGGUUAAGUACUGACAUUGUAGUACACUGCCUUCCUAUAAAAGAAGAUUGCUAGCCAGUUCAGCAGAAACUCCAGAGGAUGAGGCCUGAUAUUGUGCUAAAAAUAAAAGAAGUCAAAAAGUAAUUUGAUGUUGGGUUCUUACAAGUGGUCAAAUAUUCAGAAUGGGUAGCCAACAUCGUCUCAGUUCCUAAAAAAAAUGGGAAAGUACGAAUGUGCAUGGAUUACAGAGACUUGAACAAGGCCAGUCGAAAAGACAAUUCCCUAUUGCCUCACGUUGACACUUUGGUGGAUAAUACAGUAGGCUACUCACUUUUUUCCUUCAUGGAUGGCUUCUCUGGAUACAAUCAGAUAAAGAUGCAUCCAAAAACAUGGGAAAGAUUACAUUCGUGACCCUGUAGGAAACGUUUUACUAUAAAGUGAUGACAUUCAGAUUAAAGAAUAUGGGAGCGACGUAUCAAAGGGUGAUGGUAACCUUGUUUCAUGACAUGAUUUACAAGGAAAUCGAGGUUUAUAUUGACGAUAUGAUUGCAAAAUCUAGAACAGAAGAGGAACAUGUGCAGGUCCUGAGAAAAUUAUUCUUAAGACUGAGAAAGUUCUAGCUCAAGCUUUCCAACGAAAUGCACUUUCGGAGCUAGGUCAGGAAAGCUAUUAGGCUUCAUAGUCAGUGAAAAAGGAAUCGAGAUCAACCCAGACAAAGUCAAGGUAAUAAGAGAUUUACCUCCACUAUGCACUCAGAAGAAAGUUCGAGGUUUCCUAGGAAGACUAAAUUACAUUGCUCGGUUUAUUUCACAACUAACCGAAAAAUGUGACCCCAUAUUUCAUCUUUUAAAGAAACAUAAUCCAGAUGUAUAGGAUGAAGAAUGUCAGGAAGUUUUUGAUAGGAUAAAGCAGUACCUAUCAAAUACUCUAGUGCUGUUACCACCUAGCCCAGAUAGGCCACUGAUAUUGUAUUUAACAGUGUUUGAUAAUUUUAUGGGAUGCAUGCUAGGCCAACAUGAUGAGACAGGAAGGAAAGAAAGGGUUAUAUACUAUCUCAGUAAGAAAUUCACUGAUUAUGAAAUAAGAUACUCGUCUAUUGAGAAAUUAUGUUGUGCCUUGAUCUGGAUAACUCGGAGGCUAAGGCGGUACAUGUUGUACCAUACGACUUGACUAAUUUCAAAGUUAGACCCUUUAAAGUAUAUGAUGGAGUCAACUACUUUGAAUGGGAGGAUGGCCAGAUGGCAGAUUUUACUUUUUGAAUUUGACAUACUUUAUGUGAGCCAGAAGGCUAUAAAAUGGAGUGCAAUAGCGGAUUUUCUAGCUAGCAGAGCCUUGGAGGAUUAUGAGCCUUUAAAUUUUGAUUUUUUGAACGAGGACUUAAUGUAUGUGGCAACCACUAAAGAAAAUGCUCAAGUGGAUCGCAUUUGGAAGCUAAAAUUUGACGGAGCCUCAAAUGCUAUGGGUAAUAAAAUUGAGGCAGUCUUAGUAUCCCCGAGCAGAGAUCAUUAUCCUAUUGCUGGCAAAUUGGAUUUUGAUUGUACAAACAAUAUAGCAGAAAAUGAAGCGUGUAUUAUGGGCAUCCGUAUAGCCAAAGAAUGUAAAAUCAAAGUGCUAAAGGUAUAUGGGGAUUCUGCAUUGGUGAUAUAUCAGCUCAAAGGAGGAUGAGAGAUAAGAGACCUCAAAUUGAUUAAUUAUCGAAAGUUUAUUCUCGAAUUGAUUGAUGAGUUUGAUGAUAUUACUUUCUCCUAUCUCCCACUAGAUGAAAACCAGAUGGCUGACACGUUGGCUACUCUAGCUUUCAUGAUCAAAGUAAACAAACUAGAAGACAUGAAGCCUAUCCAGAUGAGCAUUUAUGAGACUUUGGCUCAUUGCUACAGUAUCGAGGAAGAGGAAAAGGAUGAUCAUCCUUGGUACCAAGAUAUACUGCAAUAUGUAAAGAAUCACGAGUACCCUGAUCAGGCAACGAAGAAUGAUAAGAGGACAUUGAGAAGACUAGCCACUAACUAUGUCUUACAUGGAGAGAUUUUAUACAAAAAGGGAAAGGAUCGGGUACUACUAAGAUGCUGGAUGCUAUAAAAGCUUAGAAAAUCUUGGAGGAAGUCCAUGAAGGUAUCUGCAAAAUGCAUGCCAACGGUUUCACAAUAGUAAGACAGAUUAUGAGAUUCGGGUACUACUGGUCGACCAUGGAAGGAGAUUGCAUCAAUUAUGCCAAGAAGUGCCAUAAAUGUCAAAUUUAUAGAGACAAAAUACACGCACGUUCUUCACCUCUCAACGUUAUGACUUCUCUAUGGCCUUUCUCUAUGUGGGAUAUGGAUGUCAUCGGGCCAAUAUUGCCAAAGGCUUCUAAUAGGUAUCGUUUCAUCUUCAUGGUCAUUGGUUACUUCACUAAAUAGAUGGAAGCUGAUUCAUAUGCUAAUGUCACGAAGUCAGGAGUCAGCAAGUUCUUGAAAAGGGAGAUCAUAUGUUGAUAUAUAAUGCCUGAAAGAAUCAUAUCUGACAAUACAUUGAAUUCGAAAAAUAGCAAAAUAGCGGAGGUCUGCAAUCAAUUCAAGAUCAAACACCAUAAUUCGUCACCAUAUCGCCCAAAAAUGAACGGAGCAGUGGAGGCGGCCAACUAAAAUACCAAGAAAAUUGUGGGGAAAAUGUCUGAGACUUACAAAGAUUGGCAUGAAAAAUUACCAUUUGCCCUCUUUGUUUAUCGAACAUCAAUCAGGACUUUCGUCGGGGCAACGCCUUUCUCUCUAGUUUAUAAGAUGGAGGCAGUUUUACCCAUUAAAGUUGAAAUCCCUUCUCUCUGGGUAUUGGCUGAGCUAAAGUUGGAUGAAGCUGAAUAGAUCCAACCUCGAUAUGAUCAGUUGAACCUAAUAGAAAGAAAAAGGCUAAAAGUUAUUCACCACGGUCAGAUGUACCAAAAACGAAUGAUGCGAGCCUACAACAAAAAAGUUCAUCCCAAAGAAUUCUAUGAGGGGGACCUAGUGUUGAAAAAGAUUUUUCCUCUACAAAAGAAUUUUAGAGGAAAAUGGAUGCCAAAUUAGGAAAGACCUUAUGUUGUAAUAAAGGCCUUUUCUGGAGGAGCAUUGAUUUUGAGUGAGAUGGAUGGUAAAAAUUUUCCUAAUCUUGUAAACUCAGAUUCAUUCAAGAAAUACUUCACCUAAAGAAGGAGAAGGGACCAAUGUGAAAACCUGCAAAGGGCACUUUGAGUCUUAAAAAAAAGAGACCAAGGUGAAAACCGCAAAUGGUGUCUUAAGUCCUAAAAAAAAGAGGCCAAGGUGAAAACUAGCAAAGGGCGCCUUGAGACCAAAGGGGAUUUGAGUUGAAAACCCGAAAAGAGCGACUCAAAUAUUGAUUAAAAUGGGGCAUGCAGUGAUCUUGCUAUACUUGAAUUAAUAGGAAAGGGGUAUACGACAUCUUGGGGCAUCGACAAAGUACUAUAGAUCUCCUAAACACAUUUCAAACUCAAAAUGGUCUUUAGGAAGUUUGUACAGAGAAAUUCAAGCUGCGAUGUCUAGGGCACCUAGUCUUCAUACUAUUUAUAUUAAAUUUGCUAUUCUUGGAAUACUUUAUUCUUUUCAAGAUACGUGUUCCCAAUCAAUUCCCUUUUUAUUCUUCUUUAUCCUUGAUAAUUUAUUCAUUUCGAGCUAUGCUCCAAAUCAAUUCUAUUCUUAUCCAUUGUUAUUAUCUUUUGCAAGCAUGUUGUAUUGGAAUAAUGAUUAAUAGACUAAUAAUACUUUUACAAAUAAAGUGCUGUAUAUUACUCUAAAAGUUUCUAAAUAAUACAAGAACCUAAAACAGGACUAUUGUUUAGAACGCACCGGGUUUAAAGGUUAGAAAUAUCUGAGAAGGAAGAGUCCAAAUUAAGACUAUCCCUUCGAAUUUUGUUGUCAAAAUAUUGAUUGAACAAAACGACAAGAUAUCGUAUUGGUGAACAAACGAGCAAUGAUCACCAGGUAAUAAAAAGAGGUUAUUUUGGAAAAAAAAUUACAUUGGUACGACACCUUAGGAAUGGUGUAAGAGACCAAAGAGGUUCACAUCUUGUAUUCUUGAAUUGCAAUAGGAGAGGAUUGAGAAAGAGCUAGAUAUUAUACUCCUGAAUUAUAAUGGAAGGGAAAUGGUACAAAUUUUAUGUACCAAAAGUACAGUGGAUUGAACCUUGAAGAUUACAGUAGGGGAAAUCUGAUUAAGUAAAAUAUGAAGUGUUUCUUUGGAGAUACCAGUCGAACAAGAUGGCAUUAUGACGUGUCGGUGAUAGAGCCUUAAUGAAUAAUGAGCAAUAACAACUCAAGCAUUAAGGGAUCAUUUUCAUAACAUUCUGUAUUCAUUCAUACACAUCUAGUUAGGAGAUUUUGAUUCAUUCCGAUCAUAACAUCCAAAUCACUAGACAUAAAUAGGCCCAUGAAAUGGAUUCUACAGGUCAUGUUCCCCAUAGAACAGAUGGGUGAAACCACAAAUCCUAUACCGCUGAAGUUGCAGUGGGAUGGAUUGAAGUCAUUAUGGCGAGUCUUAUCUCCCUGAAGUUGCAAUGGAGCAUAUUAAAGCUAGUAAUCUUAUCUCCCUGAAGUUGCAGUAGAGCGGAUUGAAGUUACAAGUCUUAUCCCCCUAAAGUUACAGUGGAGCAGACUGAAGAUAGUGAAUCUUAUUUCCCUGAAGCUGCAGUGGAACAAAUUGAAGCUAUAAAUUGUAGAUUUUAUCUCUCUAAAGUUGCAAUAGAGAAGAUCAUAUCAAACUUUAUCUCCCUGAAGUUGUAGUGGAACAGGUUGAAAAUACCAAUCUUAUCUCCCUGAAGUUACAGUGGAGUAGACUGAAGAUAGCGAAUCUUAUUUCUCUGAAGUUGCAGUGGAACGGAUUGAAGCUAUAAAUUACAGAUCUUAUCUCUCAGAAGUUGCAGUAAAGCAGAUCAUAGAAAACCUUAUCUCCCUGAACUUGCAGUGGAGUAGGUUGAAGUUAUAAGUCUUAUCUCCCUAAAGUUGCAGUGGAGCAGACUGAAGAUAGCGAAUCUUAUUNNNNNNNNNNNNNNNNNNNNNNNNNNNNNNNNNNNNNNNNNNNNNNNNNNNNNNNNNNNNNNNNNNNNNNNNNNNNNNNNNNNNNNNNNNNNNNNNNNNNNNNNNNNNNNNNNNNNNNNNNNNNNNNNNNNNNNNNNNNNNNNNNNNNNNNNNNNNNNNNNNNNNNNNNNNNNNNNNNNNNNNNNNNNNNNNNNNNNNNNNNNNNNNNNNNNNNNNNNNNNNNNNNNNNNNNNNNNNNNNNNNNNNNNNNNNNNNNNNNNNNNNNNNNNNNNNNNNNNNNNNNNNNNNNNNNNNNNNNNNNNNNNNNNNNNNNNNNNNNNNNNNNNNNNNNNNNNNNNNNNNNNNNNNNNNNNNNNNNNNNNNNNNNNNNNNNNNNNNNNNNNNNNNNNNNNNNNNNNNNNNNNNNNNNNNNNNNNNNNNNNNNNNNNNNNNNNNNNNNNNNNNNNNNNNNNNNNNNNNNNNNNNNNNNNNNNNNNNNNNNNNNNNNNNNNNNNNNNNNNUCAAAGGAACAAAAUAUCACCUACAUCAUAAGGCACGAUCGCCAGAACUUUACUUUCUAGCCUGUCGAUCCGAUCCAAUCCAAUGAAAGAACACAAGGAGUCUUAAGAUCUGUCAACUUUAUUUCAUUUUCAUUUCUUUGUCAUUUUCUAUGUUUCAUGUCGAAUACAAUAAAGAGAACAUAGAAAAAUGUGGCCUAUUUAUUUCCCAAUCAUCAUGAAAUUACUUGCCAUUGACUUAGAUUUUCUCACCAAUUUCAAGCAAUCUGACAUGAUUUCUCAUCACAAUUAAUUGAAUUCAAGAUCUUUUUAGAUGACACAAACAUUUCAUUUUAACACAAACCAAUAUUUCGGUUAUACUUCAGUGCUUGACAAGCACUUUCACAUUUGUGGAUAAGAACUCUUAACAUUUUAGGAUCACAUUUAAUUCAAUUGCAUUUAAGACCUCAUGGUUUUAUUCUAUAAUUUCAGUCUUAUCAGCCUUUUCGGAAACAAUAAAACGUCGACAUUAAAUUUGUUGUUGAUGCAUUCAAUUUUUUGGGUCUUUGGAGUUAUGUGACUUUAGCAUUGACUGACUUUUUUAUAAUUUAAUAAUAAGGUAAAUAUAUUAAUUUUAAUAACAUCGACAUGUUUUUUAGUAGGGUCGAGCAAAACCCAAUUAAAAUCGAUGAUAUUGGCUUAGUUGACUCGGUCAAGUCCAUUAGAUUGAUAAAAUCAUUUUUAAAAUCAGUUAUAAUGGAUAAAGGUAAUUAAUUAUCGAGUAAUGAAAUACAUAAUCAAAUCAAUUGAUUUUGUUAGAAACUAAAAGAAAAAGGGCUAAGCUGAAAAUUGAUUGCCCUUUAUUAAAAUUAACGAAUCUGUCUUUUACGUAUUAGAUAAUAUGAACAUCGCAUAUAUAAUAAGAAAAUUACGUAUGAUUAUUUAUUAUCAUAAAAGGUUAGUUUAAAUUUAAAGUAAUCUAAUAUGUUUAUUGAACUUCAACUAUUAAAUAAAGUAUAAGCUAAAUAAGUAUAAAUAUUCUAGAAACCAUUUCUAACUGAUGAUAGGCUAAUUCGAUUAAUUUAUAAAAACUAGAUAGUAGGGUUAUAGUCCUCAAACUACACCUAAUUUAAUAACAUUUAUAUUUUUUUUAGCCUUAAACAUUUAUAGUUUUGUUAAUUUGGUCCUUACUCUUUAAAAUUACAUAAAAAAUUGCAAAAAAAUUAAAAAUUAAUUUUUAUCAUGAUUUAAUAACAUUUAUAUUUUUUUUUGUGGUUUGGUAACUUAUCAACUUGACUCUUACUUGUAACCAACUUUUCUAACCUUUUUCGUACCCUUAACCUAAGUCCCGUUACAAUUUCUAAAGACCUCUUGAUUGGUGUAUCAUCUCGAUUUGUUUUUAUAGUGGUGGAGAUUUGUUUUUUGUAGUGGGCAUGAUUGCCAGAACUUUACUUUCUAUCCUGUCGAUCCGAUCCAAUGAAAGAAUAACAAAGAGGUCUUAAGAUCUGUCAACUUUAUUUCAUUUUCAUUUUCUUUGUCAUUUUCUAUGUUUCUUGUCACAUACAAUGAAAGAAGAACAUAGAAAAAUGUUGCCUAUUUAUUUCCCAAUCAUCAUUCUAACAGGCCGAAUUAGCCCAGGCCCAAACAUUAAUAAAUGUCCAGAUUACAAAAUAACCAACCAAAAAUUAAAAGCCCAAAUAAUAAAAUAAAACCCAUUACAUUAACCCAAAACUCCAGCCCAAUUACAUUGAAGCCAAAAAAAUAGUUUUUAGAAACCCCUAGGGUUUCUGGAACAAUCCGCGCCGCUCCUCCAUCCGCUUCUCCACGCACGCUGCACCUUUCCACGUGCGCCUCCAGCUGGCAGUGUACCUCCAAUGCAACAAACAAAGCAACAAGCAGCAAAAGAAAUGGAAAAACAACAAAAAAAAAAGAAGGAGCAACAAUGUAUAACAGAUUGAUAACAAAUAAUAGAAAAAAUAGCAGUAAAUAGGAAAAAAAAUUAAAAAAUAAUGAGGGUAAUUUCAUUUUUUUCUCUGUUUUGGCUAUAAAGAGAGCCGGUCAAAAUCUCUAAAGGGGGAUUUAGAAUCAAUCAGAAAACAAGUAUUUUGUACCAACAAUUAGAGAAAAAAAAUACAAAAAUAGGGAUUGAAGGUUUUUUUUUUCUUUCGUUUCGAUUUAUUUAAAAUAGCAUAGAAAAUAAAAAGAAGGCUUACCUUGCGACGCCUUCAGAUCCUCUCGAAAAGGGGCUAAAAGGCCCUAUGUGGCACAGAUUUGACCACUGUUCACGGUGGAACCGCAGCGGAGGCGCAGAGGAUUGGCAUCAAUUUAGGCAGGGUUUGAAACCCUAGCAGAGAAAAAAUUAGGGUUGAUAGAUUUUUUUUAAAAAAAUGGCAAAAUGUUGUUUUUAAAAAAUUUUGUUUUAAAAAAAUUGUUGCUUUUAUAAAGGGUGUAAAACGGCGUCGUUUAGGGCAUGUUUCGAUGGCCCCAAAACGGCGCCUUAUAAGGCAACCCCCGACGACCCGACCUGCUCCAUGGGGGAUCCGCGUGGUUUUUGUUAAAUGGGUUAUGUCUAACCCUGGCCCUUCUACUUUUUAUACUUGUUUUAAUUUGAUCCUCUUUUUAUUUAUUUUUAUUUCUUUAAAUUAAGCCUGAUAAUUUUUUUCCAUUACAUUUUAAUCCUUAAUGAAACGGCGCGUUUUAGAGGAGAAGGGAAAAUUACCCUUCUAGUCCCUUCUUGUUAUUCGAGUGUUCAGAAGGGUCCUUUUUUGUUUAUUUUUUAUUUGCCCCAAAAUUUUGUUUUAAAGCUUAAUUUAGUCCUAUUUUGUUAUUUUAGCUAUUUUAUUAUUAGAUUAAUUAAUUUAAUAUUAUUAUUACUGCUAUUAUUUUACCCCUAUUAGUUAUAUAUUUAUUAUUAUAACUAUAUCAUUAAAUCAAUUAGUUUUUACAUUAUUAUUUCCAUUCUGUUUUUUAUUUACUUACUUAAAUACUUUAAAUGCAUUUAUUUUAUUUCUUAUUUUUUUAUGAAAUUUCAAAACUUUAGACUAUUUUUUUGUUACUAUAACCCUAAUUUCAUUCAUUUUAUAAUAGUUUUUUUUUAAAAUAUUUCUUAGAUUAAUUCCCUCGAUGUUAUUUUGUAUAUUUAUUUAUCUUUUUAAAUUUUCGAUAUUGUCUUAUUGUAUUAUUGUUGUUACUAUCAUUAUUCAUUAUUAUUGUUGAUUUUAUUCUUCUUUGAUUAAUGUUUAUGUUAGAGUAAUAGGUGUUAUGUGAUCAUUGUUAUUAUAUGUUAUAAUUUGUUGACACUCGUAUUGUAGUCAUUCGUCAGCUUAAUAUUUGAGUAACAUUUUAAAUAUUACAUUAAUUUUGACCCAAAUGCAUAAUUUUUUAAUAAGUAAUAUUUCGUAUUGUGGAAUUUGAGAGAUCAUUCCCUAACUUACGGGGUCUCGAUUUUUUUGAUAAAUCUGAAUAUAAGAACUAUUUUAAAAAAAUACGUUUUAAAAUUAUCUCGGGAAUUUAAAAAGAAGCGUGUUCUAACUUACGGAAUAUGAUCUUUUUUAAAAAUCGAGAUAAUCAAAUAUCUUUCAAAUAAAUAAACUUUUCGUGUUUAUUCUCGUUUUAGGAUUUAAGAUAUUGUGUCCUAACUCACGGGACACAAUUCUUUUUCUCGAUUAACGUGAAAUACGCCCUUUUUAAUUUUAUCUUUUUAAGUGAUUUUAACAAAAGGAUUGUAUUUUAAAUCUCUUCAAAAUUUUCAAUUUUUCGACAUUGAGACAUUAACUAAUCAAUUAGGUACCAAUUUUGGGCGUUACAAGGGUGUUAACCCUUCCUUGUACAUAACCGACUCCCGAACCUAUUUUUCUGAAUAUUAUAGGCCAAAAUUGUUUUAAUAAAUUAAACCCUUAAGAGGUGACUCGAUCACAGCUCAUAAAAAUUAUCGGUGGCGACCCUUGUUUUAAAAAAGGUGGUUUCAACAGCUUGGCGACUCCGCUGGGGACAAAAAUAAGAGUCAAGCCGCGAGUUGAUUAUUUCUUAUCUUUUUGUCAGAAAUUGUGAAUUCGAUUUAAAUUUAUGAUCUUUUCAUUGCAUUUUAUGGUCUGCAUCAUUUUUAUAUGCUUGCUUUACUACUUCGAGUCUUUUAAUCUUCGCAUAUUGUAUUGCAUAACCGUUCGGUUAUACCCUUUUAAGCGGGAGUGAGAAAUUAUUCUUUCGUGAGGUUUUCACCUUCGUAUAGGAUAGUGGAUUACUUUCAGGAUACAUCCAUACCUAUGUCUUCGUGAGAUUCUCAUCUCCGUAUAGUCAUAGGGAAAUGUAUUCCCCUGAACUGAACUCAGUCCGUAUGAGCCUAUAAUGGGUGAGGAUUGAGGAAUCUGCUGGUUCAGGUACCCUUUCUUUAGAACUAAACCGCAUGUAGUGAGCCCUAAGAGCAUACCCUAGGUAGAACCACUCCAAACCCCUAGUGGUCACCCAAAUAGGUGCUCUAUUUAUUUUUGCUUGCUUGUUUUUGCCUUGUACUAACCUAUUUGUUAUGGUUAUGAGUGCAUUGCAUUUUUAUCAUAAAAAAGAUGUGUUGAUUCACGUUCAGUUGCUAAAUAGAGAGCUUGUCAUGGAAAACGAAUUUCUUGAUAAAGUGGAAGACAAUGCGGUUGUCCGGAUAUGGUCCAAGAAAAUGUGAAGAAAGAAGGGUGAUAGUCUAAUGGAGGACUACACGACCUUGCUUCGUUGCCUGAUGAUUCAAGUUGACAAAGAUUAUUCGAGAGUCUUCAAUGUCCCGACCUUUUUAAAGAAGCUAACGAGCGUCACGAGGAUGAGCGAGUAAUGAGUUGCGGCCCGGAUCAAGCAAAAAAAAGAUAGAGGAGACACCCUUUUUGAAGAGUUCACGAGAUUUAUCUUAACAUCUAGACGAAGAAAAAGAUCAAUCUCUUUGCCUAGAGUAUGAGGGCAAAGCCGUAUAUAUAUCCGCUUUAUGUAAAUAAAUUUGUUUUCUAGUAAAGUUUUUCUAAUAGAAUUGAAUCAGAAUCAACGUCUCUUUUUGCAUUCAUUCCAUUCAUCUGCAUUGCAUUUCAUUGCAUCUAGAAUUUCACAAAAGGACCCUAAUUAAUCGAAAUUGUUAUAGCUACCUUGAAAAACUAACGAAAAUUUACCAAUUAAAUAUUCCUAUGGUACCCAUUGCAAAACUAAAGUAAUGGAUCAAAUAUUAGAAAGAUUAGAACAAAUGCUGAAGGAUAAACAUAACUGCUUUGGCUUAGGGUACAAGCCAGAUACAAGACAAAGAAGAAAUAGGAAAGGAGAACACGUUUGAGCGGGGAUGAGGUCAAAUGGGAGGGAUUAUUCAUCCCAGGCGAAGAAUGCCAAGAGAAGAAAAUAUUGAAAACAUGUUGGGAAACGUUCACAUCAAUGCCAUAUACGAAGAAGCAAUUGAAGGAGUGACCUUGUUAGAUAUCCGCCCUUAUGAACCUAAGAGUGUGCUAAACAAUUGGACUGCAGAAGAAAUUCUUGUAGUGUUUAGAGCUUACUCAUAGUAAUGUUCAGAACACACUUGUUGCUUUUAGCCUAGAAGUGAUAAGAAUCCCUCUGUGAAAUAGGCUCAUGUAUAAAAAUCAUUAUUUUAAUGAAGUACAUCUUUGCAUUCAUUUUGAGCAAAUAUUCUUUUAUUCUUUUCAUACGAGUAAUUAUUUUGGAUUCUUUAAUUCUUUUGGGAUUUUCUUCCAAAAUCAUUCUUUUAUUACAUCCAUAAUCAUACUGUACAAAUAAUGUAAUAGCCUGAAUUUUCAGUGGUGUCGGAAUGGUGAUUCAAGAUCACUAAGUCUGACAAAUGAGUAGAAAAUAUUAUUAAUUUAGUAAGAAUAAGUAAAUGUGAAGUUAGGAAAAUUUUUGAAAUAGUGAAUAGUGUACUAGGAAUAAAUAUUAAAAUAAUUAAAAUAAAAAAUGAGGUAUCGAGACCUCGAAGAUUUUAAACCAAGCCAUAAGUACUUUUAGAAGUAUUUUUAGAGUGUCAUUGAGUUGGUAUUAAAGUUUCGUUAGAAAAUUUUAACGCUCGGAUAGUUAAUUAACCAAAAAGGACUAAAUUGAAAAUAGUGUAAAAUUUGUUAAAUUGUGAUUAAAUAGCUUAAGUGAUUAAAAAGGAGGGAUUUAAAAGGCAAUUAGGCCCAAAUUAUAUGGGCUGGACGGUUGGGUAAGAAAAAUCAGCAGAAUGUAAGGAGAAAACAGGGGCAAAAUUGGAAACUUAACAAAUUAAACAUAUAAAACAAAGACAAAAGUGAAAAAUCUAGAGAUCUGUUCACAAUUUAUCAGCAAAAAUGCCAUAGGAGGUCUGAAAGAAGCUGGUUUUUCAUAUAUUUGAAUCAUGUAAGUUUAAUUCUUGAUUAUUUCUUCUAAUUUUUGUGAUUUUGAUACUUUUACAAUUAGGUCCAACUAAUUAUUUCAUUAGUUUUUGAUUUCAUGGCUGAUUUUGAAAGUUACCAUUGAUGAGUGUUGGAUUUUUAUGAUGAAUAAACAUGGAAUUAAAGCUUUAAUUUUGUUAUAUGAUGAUUUUAUUAAGUAAUUUUGAUAGAAAUUGAUUUUUGGGACCUAAUUGUGAAAAAGUUUGGAAUUAGGGUUUGGUGUUGCGGUUUUGAAUAUGAAAGGCUAUGUAGUAGUCUAAAAUAGUUGGAAAAGGUGUUAAUUGAGAAAAAUUAGAUCAAUUGAGGGGUUAAUUGAGUAGGACCAAAUUGUAAAAACUGUAAAGUUUGAGGUAAAAGUGUAAUUUCGAAAAUUUAAGGGCAUAAAUUGUGAAGUGAAUUAGAAUAGAAUUAUAUGCUGAUGAAUGAAUAAAUUUGUAUUUUAGAUCGAGAACCCGAAGCAAGCCGAGGAAAAGAAAAAGUAGUUGAUUAGUCCCUGAACUUUUACAAAUUCUGCAAAUCGACCCAGGUAAGUUCAUAUGGCUGAAAUUUAAUGAUUAAAUGUUAAUUUCAUGAAUUAUGUAAUGUAUGAUGAAAUGUAUUUAGUGUUGAAAUGAGAGUAAAAUAAAAAUGCGAAAAUCGAAUAAAUGAUCAAAUUAAGCGGAACGCCGGAUUUGAGUACUUCUGAUCAAGAGACAAAGUGAUAAGUGGUAGCUUUAGCUACACUUAUCUGAUCAAGUGAAAAAGUGAUAAGUGCUACACUUAUCUGAUCAAGAGACAAAGUGAUAAGUGGUAGCUUUAGCUCACUUAUCUGAUCAAGUGAAAAAGUGAUAAGUGCUAUACUUAUCUGAUCAAGUGACAAAGUGAUAAGUGGUAGCUUAGCUACACUUAUCUGAUCAGGGCCAAAUGAUAAGUGAUCAUACGUAAGACCAUAGUUAUACUAUGGCCAAGUGAAAGUGAAGUACUCAAUUUUCCGUAACCGUUCCUUAAUUUUGAUCAAGGAUGGUAAGUGACAAAUAGGCCCAAAGAAAUUAUGGUAAAAGAAUAAGUAGUAGUGAGUUUAUACCAAGGAACUCUCCAAAGAUUGUGGUUGACAAGUAAACUUAGUAAUGGUGUAUAUUGUAUAAGUGUACAAAUGUUUGGUAAGAUUUAUGUUUGUGCCUAUGAACUUACUAAGCUUUUCUAUAAGCUUACAUGUGUGUGUUUAUUGUUUUUCUAGAUUAACGUAUUUAUACAUUCGGAGGAUCGGAUCUACUUCGAGAAUCACACUAUCCAGAUAUACUCCGGUAGAUUUUGUUAAACAACUUUUUGGAUUUAUAUGGCAUGUACAGAGAAUUGAAGUAAAAAGUAAUAGAAUGAAUGACUGAGUAUGCAAAGUAAAUUUGAAUGUGAUGGUUGUGUUAGAUAUUGAAAAAUACAUGUUUUUAGUUUGAAAUGGUUGAUUGGCUGAACUUCGUUAGUAUUCAAGUGAAGUAGUUGAAAUACUGGAAUUGGUUGUGAUUUGAAAUUUGCAGGGAAGGUUAGAUAAAUAUAAAGGGGUUAUAUUGAUUUUUUUUUUAAAUUUCAAUGGAAUAAUUUUUGGACAGCAGCAUUGAUGUAACUUUUAAAAAUCACCAAAAAUAGUGGAAAUAGAAUUAGAAGUUGAAUGAGAUAUGAAAUUAAAUCUGAAUGAGUCUAAUUUCACAUGAAAGAAGUAGAAUAAGAAAAAGAGUUAUAUAUUUUUAGAUAUUUGAAUUUUAGUGAAACAGGGCAAGAAUGUUUUUGAAGUCCCCUGUUCUGACUUUAGAAAUUUAGUAAAAAUUGUACAAAAGGAAUUAUGAAUUAUAAUUUAUAUGUUUAAAUUCCGUAAUGAGUAUAUUUUAAGUAGAAAUAAUUGGAACCACCAUAUGAAGUCUUUGCAAUGAGAUAAUUGAAUUUUAGUGACAAGAGGUCAGGAUAGUCAAUUAGUGAAAUAGGGGAGACUUCAACUAAUAAACUGUAUUAAUUUGCUAAACCAAAAAUUCUGAAAAAUUUAUGGUGAAUAUACAUAUGAGUCUAGUUUGAGGGAAAAUUUACGGAUCUAAAUUUUUAGUUUCGUAUCUUGAGUUAUAAUUAUUUUAGUGACUACUGCGCAUGUGGACAGCUUUGUUGUGAAUGGUGAAAUUAAUUUUUAAAGUAAAUUUUUAUGCCCCGAACUUUUAAGUUCAGUCAAGUAACGCCUUAUGCUCGACUCCGGCAACCGUCUUGGGUAAGGGGUGUUAUAAAUAAUUAUUCUUAAAUUCAUACAUUCUUUGUAUAUUAUUUUGUACCUACAAUAGGUCCCUAGAUAUUAACAACAUGAGUGACGUUGCUACAGACUCAGAAUUUCCUUUUAAACAAGACAUGUGUUUAGAGGGAUCCCAUGGCUUUGAAGAUGACGUAGACUGUGGCUUAUCUCUGAAUUUGUUAAGGAUGGUAAAACAAGAGGAGAAGCAAAUCCUACCUCACAAGGAAUCAAUGGAAAUUGUGAGCUUAGAAGGGGGAAAAGAGGUGAAGAUUGAGACUAACAUUGCCACAAAGACAAAGCAUGACCUCGUUGAGUUACUCCAAGAAUUUAAAGAUGUCUUCGCAUGGUCAUACCAGGAUACUCCCGGGUUAAGUACUGGCAUUGUAGUACACUACCUUCUUAUAAAAGAAGAUUGCAAGCCAGUUUAGCAGAAACUCUGAAGGAUGAGGCCUGAUAUUGUGCUAAAAAUAAAAGAAGAAGUUAAAAAGCAAUUUGAUGUUGGGUUCUUACAAGUGGUUAAAUAUUCAGAAUGAGUAGCCAACAUCGUCUCAGUCUCUAAAAAAGAUGGGAAAGUACGAAUGUGCAUAGAUUACAGAGACAUGAACAAGGCCAGCCAAAAAGAAAAUUUCCCAUUGCCUCACAUUGACACUUUGGUGGAUAAUACAGUAGGCUACUCACUGUUUUCCUUCAUGGACGACUUCUCUGGAUACAACCAGAUAAAGAUGCAUCCCAAAAACAUGGGAAAGACUACAUUCGUGACCCUAUGGGGAAUGUUUUGCUAUAAAAUGAUGUCAUUCGGAUUAAAGAAUGUGGGAGCGACGUAUCAAAGGGAAUGGUAACCUUGUUUCAUGACAUGAUGUACAAGUAAAUCGAGGUUUAUGUUGACGAUAUGAUUGCAAAAUCCAGAACAGAAGAGGAACAUGUGUAGGCCCUAAGAAAAUUAUUCUUAAGACUGAGAAAGUUCCAGCUCAAGCUUUCCAACGAAAUGCACAUUCAGAGCUAGGUUAGGAAAGCUGUUAGGCUUCACAGUUAGUGAAAAAGGAAUCGAGAUCAACCCAGAUAAAGUCAAUGCGAUACGAGAUUUACCUCUACCAUGCACUCAGAAGGAAGCUCGAGGUUUCCUAGGAAGACUGAAUUACAUUGCUCGAUACAUUUCACAACUAACCGAAAAAUGUGACACCAUAUUAAAAUAAAAAUAGAUUAAAUUGUAAGUAAAACAUAAUUUAAACAUAUGAAUACAUCAAAUUAAUAAUACUAAAUGAAUACAGUUAUUUAUGAUGAUGUUGUUGCCAAUUCCUAAUUUGGUGUCUAGUUAAUUUGUGACAUCAUAAAUUUAAGUGAUAAAUUUAAGGUUUUAUGUAUUGAUGUGGAUUCAAAUAUCACCAUAAUUUUUGUAAAUAAAAAACUAAUAAGAUAACUUAUAUUAAGUACGAAAGGGUAUUUUUAUAAUUUCUCUAAUCGAGUUGGUGCCCGGUUGACUCAUGACACUAACUCAAUCAGAAGCUUUAAUAAUAAUAUAGAUAUUCAUGUUAAAAAAACAAAAAAAAAGUACUUUAGUUCCAAAUAAUUAUAUAACAAGUAAAUUUAUAAUUGAUGAAUAAAUUUAUAAAUAAUAUAUUUAUAUGAUCUAAUAUAUUAUAUUUAUAUUAAUUAUAUAUCAUCUACAAACUUUGAAGAUCAAUUUAUUAAGUAAAAAUGAAAUUGUUAACACUAAAUCAAUUUUUAGAUUUUGUAUAGAUGAUUUAGUGAUGAUAAAAACAUUAUUAACACUAUUUUUUAAUUAACAAAAAAUUAGUGAUAUAUUUAAAUUAUAUUUAUCAUUUAUUAUUUUUAAUAAUAUUUUUUAAUUAUAUGAAGUAAAAUUAUAUUGUAUACUAAAUAUGGUACAUAUACUCUAAUUAUAACUUGAAAUUUUAUUAUAUAAAUUAAUAUAAAUUUGAAUAACAAAAUAAAAAAAAACUAAUUAGAAUAAUUUUAAAAAACAUUAUUUAAAAGUAGUUAAAAAUCACGUGCAACAGGUGAGAUCAAUGGUCUUUAGAGAAGAAAUGUUGAAGAUCAAAGUUGGAAUCUGGCCUAUAAGGCCUUUAAUUGCUUUAAUAUUAAGCAGUUCCAAACCAAGAAGAUUACCGAUUUCCUCAGGAAUUUGACCUGCACACAUGGUCGAAAAAUCAAUGUGUCAAACUACCUAUUUUGUUAGCAUAAGUCAAAGAGGUUUUCUUUUCUAUUCUACAUAAUUUGCAGAUGUUAGAUUUUAAUAUUUUUAAGCAUAUUUGUUUUCAUCAAAUUAACUAUUUUGAACUAUUUUGCCUUGAAUGAAAUAAAAUGCUCUUACUUUUGUUAUCUAUUACUAAUCAAACUCUUUUAUAAAAAAAAUACUUUAAACUAAAGAAACCAAGAAAAUUCAAUACCUUCUAGGUUAUUCAACCCCAAAUAUAAUUCUUUGAGUCGUGUCGGAUUUCCAAUACUUCUUGGAAUGAUCCCCAUCAAUUGAUUAUAGGAAAAUGACAAAAUUUUAAGGUUGUUGCAUUUGCUUAUACUUGACGGAAUGUUACCAUAUAAUUCAUUCCGACUCAAGUAAAGCCCUUCAAGCUUGGAAAGAUGUGACACAUAUCAUUAGGCAAGCUACCUGAUAGGCUAUUGUUGGAGAGAUCAAUGGCCUUCAGAGAAGAAAUGUUGAAGAUCGAAGUUGGAAUCUGACCUGUAAGGCCUUUAAUUGCUUUAAUAUUAAGCAGUUCCAAACCAAGAAGAUUACCGAUUUCCUCAAGAAUUUGACCUGCACACAUGGUCGAAAAAUCAAUGUGUCAAACUACCUAUUUUGUUAGCAUAAGUCAAAGAGGUUUUCUUUUCUGUUCUAUAGUAAUUUGGUGAUGUUAGAUUUUAAUAUAAUUCAGCACAUGUUUUUCAUCAAAUGAAAUAAAAAGUUUUUCCUUUUGUUAUCUAUUACAAAUCAAGCUCUUUUAUUAAAAAAAUACUUUAAAUUCAAGAAAUCAAGGAAAUUAAUUACCUUCUAAAUUAUUAAACCCCAAAUAUAAUUCCUGGAGUCGUGUUAGAUUUCCAAUACUUCUUGGAAUGAUCCCCAUAAAUUGAUUAUGGGGCAACAACAAAUUUUUAAGGAUGUUUCAUUUGCCUAUGCUUGACGGAAUGUUACCAGAUAACUCAUUGCUAUGCAAGUGAAGCCCUUCAAGCUCGGGAAGAUGUUGACACAUAUCAUUAGGCAAACUACCUAAUAGGCUAUUCCUGGAGAGAGCAAUAGUCUUGAGAGAAAAAUGUUGAAGAUCGAAGUCGGAAUCUGAUCUGUAAGGCCUUUAAUUGCUUGAAUAUUAAGCAUUUCCAAACUAAAAAGAUUACCGAUUUCUUCAGGAAUUUGACCUGCAGACAUAGUCGAAACAUCAAGGUGUUAAAUUUCCUAUUUUGUUAGUGUAAAUCAAAGAGGCUUUUUAUUUUUUUUCGUUAUGAAAUAAUAUGGAUAUGUUCGAUUCUAAUCAUAUUUAAGUAUAUAUUAGUUCUUGAAAGAAUGAGUUCUUAUUUUUGGUAUUUAUAUUGCAAAUAUAUAUUUUUUUAAAUUUAAAAGAAGGGAGGGGGCAAAUGUGUUUAAACUAAAGACAUCAAGGAAAAGGCAUACCAAGUAUAAUUGUUUAAGUUGUGUCAAAUUCCCAAUGCUUUUUGGAAUGAUCCCACUAAAUUGAUUAAUAGACAAUUCCAAAAUUUGAAGGUUGCAGCAUUUGUCUAUACUUGAUGGAAUAGAACUUGAUAAUUCAUUUCUACUCAAGUAAAGCUCUUUCAGCUUGGGAAGAUGGACACACAAAUCAUCGGGCAAGCCACCAGAAAGACUAUUAUCACAAAAAUGAAUCCUUUUCAAAGAAGAAAUGUUAAAGAUGGAAGAUGGAACCUGGCCAGAUAAUUGAUUGAAUCCCAAGUUCAAGAUCUCUAGAUUGGACAAGUUGACAAGUGUUUGAGGGAUCGUGCCUGUGAAGUUAUUAUUUCUCAUUUCCAACCUUUGAACUCUGUGCAAGUUCCCAAGCCAUGGUGGAAUUUCCCCAUUAAGACGGUUGUAGCUUAAUCGAAUGAUCCUCAAACGAUGCAAUUGGCCUAAUUCUUUAGCCAGAUGGCCGUAGAAAUUGUUGUUGCUCAAGUCGAUAGAAAAUAGAAAUGAAAGAUUUCCAAGGUGUGGAGGGAUAGUACCCCUAAGAUUCAUGUUUGUAAGAUUAAUCAAAGCUACAACUCUUUCAUGGAUGAUGCCACAAGAAACACCAACCCACUUACAGACAGAGGUAGAGUUCGUCCAAUUGUUUGCCAACACAUUUUGAGGAUCGACAAUGCGAUCUUUAAACUCAAAGAGUGCAAACUGAUCGGAGUUGAGAUUCCGGACUGUCAUAGCCAAGGAAACAAUAGAACAUUGUAUGAAUAAAAGUGAAAGAAGAUGAAAGCAAGUGUUGUAGUUCAUGAUGGCAAGACGAAAUAAGCCAGGAAAAGGGAAGUUGAAUUGAUGAAGAAAUAGCCAGCCAACAUGCUUAAAUAGGCUUCAACCCUUGCACACUUCUCAUACAUAAAGUUCGCUGCCAUUACAACAAGAAAACUCAUAUCUCCAUUCGUACCUAUCCAUACUUUAUUUGACUAACUUUUCCCUAACAAGUGUUCAGUAAGGAGAUAAAUCAGUUUGGAGCUAUUCACCGGCUUCUCCAAUCUUGGUUUCAAACUCCUAACCCAUCAAUUCACUUUAAUUGAAACGAUAUACACGAGUCUUUCGGCUUAUAUUUUUAAUUUAAUUUUUGUUACUUUUCAUAAUAUUUUUUGAGAAAUCCAAAUAUUCCAGUCUGAAAUUUCUUCAUUGCCACGUCUAUCUCCUGGGUAAGUCCGUGGUUAGGCAGCCCACUUUGGGAGCAGGAUUGUAAUUGUAAUUCUAUCCGACUCAUUUUACUAUUUAGAAAUAUAAAAGUAAUAUUAUAUUAUUUUUUAUAUUUUUAUAAAUUUAAUUUUAAUUAUAAUUUUUAAACAAUAAAACGAGUCAUUUGUAUUUGCCUAGUCUAAAUUGAAUCAGGAGUCAAAAAAAUUUUAAUCAUAAUUUACUAUUAUUUUAAUUAAUUAAAAUUUAACCUACUACAACUAGUAGUUGCAGAAAAAAUGUCAUUCCUUUAGAAAAACGAAAAUCCUUUAGAAAAAUGAGAACUUAUGAAGCAUUCAAUAAGAGUCAUUGGAAUAAAUGGUAACGAAAUCAUAAUUCAAUAUAAAGCUAAAAAAUGUACCAAUCUAUAUAAAUAAUGUAAGAUUUGUGAUACCUAAAUUAUUAUAUUUUCCAUAAAUAUAUGAAGAUAUUUUAUUAGGAAAUAAUUUUAUAUAUAAAAUUUUUUAUUUUCUUUUGAUAGAAAUUUAAUUAUGUUAUCUGUAGAAAAAAAUAUUUAUAGAAAUAUUAUUAGUAGAAAAUCAUAAAUUUGUGUGUGGCAAAAAAAAUUCACCACCAAGAAAGGGGCAAAUUAAACAACUUGAAACAAGUCAUUGGUUGUUUAAAAUAUUAGAUAAUAAUUUCAGUGAAGAAUCAUUAAAAUUAUGACAAAAUAACCCUAGAUAUUGUAGUAUUAAAUUGGAAAAUCUCAAUAAUAUUAUUAGAGUAAAACCUAUGAUCUAUCUAAACAAGAUAUAGAAGAUUUUGAUAUACAAAUUAAGGUUAGAAAUCAUGCGGAAAUAAAAAAGAAAAAAAAGCUAGUAUGGUCAUUAAUUAUAAAAGAUUAAAUCAAAAUAUUAUUUUUUUAUAGUUACUUGAAUUAAUCAGGCUAAACAAACAAAAUAUUUUAGUAAAUUUGACUGCAAAUCAGGAUUCUAGCAAAUCAUGAUAACAGAAAAGUCCAAACCUUUAACGGCUUUUAGUGCACCCAAUGGACAUUACCAAUGGAAAGUGAUGUCAUUUCAAUUAUGUGAUGCACCACAAAUCUUCCAAAGACGAAUGGAUUUUAUAUUUAAUAAAUAUAAAAAAAUUCUAUGUAGUCUACAUAGAUGAUAUUUUUUAUAUUUUUAGAUACACUAGAAUUACAUAAGAAACAUUUAAAUAUUAUUUCUUAAGAAUUCAUAAAAUAUAGAAUCAUAUUAAACCCUAAAAAUAUAGAGUUAGAAAAAAGAGAGAGAAUUUUUAUAAUAGUGGAAAUAAAAAAUUGUCCUCAAAAGAUUGAAGAAAAAAAGAACUUCCAACAAUUUCUAAUAUAUUCCUCCCAAAUUUUCAGUUUCAAUUUUAUUACAGAAUUUCUUUGCCGACAAUAAGAAAUUAAGAGCGCUCUUUAAGUUGAAUAUAGUCCGUCAGAUAUGGCUAUCUAUAACAUGGAACCUUUGGUUUUCAAGCUGAAUAGGAGAAUUGAUUCACUUGAUAAGUAUGAAAAAUUGAAACUGCUAAAUUUAAGUGCACUAACUCUGGAUAUCAUCAUUAUUUUUCUGUACAUUAAAGUACCUGUUUGAUAUGCGAUUUCUGCCUCAAACUAUCAACAUCUUUAACAUCCUUUUGCUAUAGUUAGCAUGGGUACUUCCUUUUAGAUUAACAGUUAGGUUUGAACUGUGAAUUAGAUUUCUGUGGCUGCUGGGAUUGAAGAAGUUAGUAUGCGAAUGACAUUGGACAAAUUUGGCAAAGUCUUCUCCAUCAGUGAAGAAAACCCCUUGGCGUAUGAAAAAUGUUCACCAUCUUAGACAUUUGUUUUCUUAUUGUAAGAAUAUUUUUAACAUUGUAACUUUUAACAUUAUUGUAAGAAUAUUUUGAAUUAUACUUCAGUUAUCAAUUUAUAUCAUAUAUCUUUUGUUGAAUUUGAAGUAUAAUUUAUAUUUGCUGUUUUUGGUUAGAUUUCAUGCUAUAGGAAGGGUUGUAUAUGGAUAGAAAUUGAAUGUUACAAAUCUGCCAAAGUUAGUGGCGUUUUUUCAUAAGAGCUGCUAAAGAAUGCUAUUUUUGGCGGUGUUUGUAAUAAAAGAGCCGCUAAAGGUCAUGUUCUUUAGCGAUGUUUGUGGGUAAAGCGCCGCUAAAGAUCAUGUUCUGUAGCUGUGUUUGUGGAUAAAGCGCCGCUAAAGAACAUGACCUUUAGCAGCGUAUUUUCACAUAAACGCCGCAAAAUUUAGCGGCUUUGUCUAUAGCGACUUUUUUUGCAGCGCUUUAAGUUUUAGCGGCGCUUUUAGGCCUAAAAAAGGGCCGCUAAAAGCCUGUUUUGCUGUAGUGAGCAUAUUUACAUUUUCGUCCCAAUUUCAACUAACACCCCAUCUAUUUCCCACUUCCCUUUUUCGGGCAAUUUCAACUAACACCUUCAUAUCAAACAUAACUAUUUUUCAAUUUUUCUUCUUUAUUUCAUUAAUAAAAUUAUCAAUCUAUUUGUUUUUAAAUAUAUAAUUUCAUUAAUAUUUUUUAAAUUAUAAUAUAAGAGUUGUUGUUUAUUUAUAGUUUUAUUACAUUAUUUACUCUCUCUUUUCUAUCAAGUUUUUUAAAUUAUAAUAUAAGAUUUAUUUUAUCAAUUUGUGGCUUAUCCAGUAUUCAUCUAUUUUAAUAAUAACUUGAGUUCCAGUCAUUAUCAUACCAGAAAGAGUUCCAUUUAUUCUUUAUCGUAAAUUUUAUAAAAAAAUAUACAUUUUAUUAUAAUACUAUAUGUGUUACGAAUAAUAUUUUAUUGUGGAUGCCCAUAAUUUUCAAAGUUGUAACCUCUAAUGUAGUAACCUUAAUGAAAUUAUGAGGCUUUUAUAUUGUAAUCAAGCCUCUAUUUAUUCUUUGUAACUUAAACAGAAGCAUAUUUUCUAUUAUAUUGAUAUUUUUUAUAGAUAUAUAUAUAUAUAUAAGGAAUCAAAUAAAAAGUUAUUUACCUUUCUAUUAUAUUGAUAUUUUCUAUUUGAUUUGUUCUUUUCUUUCACUAUUCCAUAAUAUAUUAUCAGUACGAUUUUAACCAAGAGUAACAUGUUAUUAGAUUGUGUCAAAAUUUUGUUGAGAAUCAUUAGAUUGUUUCCUUUUUCUUCUAUUUAGCCCCAAAUUGCACCCCUACACAAAAUUCAACAAAAACAUGGAAAAAUUAGUGGUGCACUCUCAUAAAUUAACCAAUUUAAUUACAUAAAAUAUGUAACUUUAGCAUUUUAUCAAUCAUGUUCUUUAGCGGCAUUUGUGGGUAAAGCGCCGCUAAAGGUCAUAUUCUUUAGCAGCGUUUGUGAUAAAAGUGCCACUAAAUAUCAUGUUCUUUAGCGGCGUUUGUGGAUAAAGCGCCGCUAAAGAACAUGACGUUUAGCAGCAUUUUUUUACAUAAACGUUGUAAAAUUUAGCGGCGUUGUCUAUAGCGACGUUUUUUGCGGUGCUUUCAAAUAGUUUUAGCGGCGCUUGUAGGCCUAAAAAAAUGCCGCUAAAAGUCUGUUUUGCUGUAUGAGCAUAUUUACAUUUUCGUCCCAAUUUCAACUAACACCCCAUCUAUUUCCCACUUCCCUUUUUCAGCCAAUUUCAACUAACACCUUCAUUUCAAACGUAAUUGUUUUUCGAUUUUUCCUCUUUAUUUCAUUAAUAAAAUUAUCAAUCUAUUUGUAUUUUAAAUAUAUAAUUUUAUUAAUAUUUUUUAAUUAUAAUAUAAGAGUUUUUGUUUAUUUAUAGUUUUAUUAUAUUAUUUACUCUCUUUUUUCUAUCAAGCUUUUUAAAUUAUAAUAUAAGAUUUAUUUUAUCAAAUGGUGGCUUAUCGAGUAUUCAUCUAUUUUAAUAAUAACUUGAGUUCCAAUCAUUAUCAUACCAGAAAGAGUUCCAUUUAUUCUUUAUCGUAAAUUUUAUAAAAAAAUAUAUAUUUUAUUAUAAUACUAUAUGUGUUAGGAAUAAUAUUUUAUUGUGGAUGCCCAUAAUUUUCAAAGUUGUAACCUCUAAUGUAGUAACCUCAAUGAAAUUAUGAGGCUUUUAUAUUGUAAUCAAGCCUCUAUUUAUUCUUUGUAACUUAAACAGAAGCAUAUUUUCUAUUAUAUUGAUAUUUUUUUAUAGAGAUAUAUACAUAAGGAAUCAAAUAAAAAGUUAUUUACCUUUCUAUUAUAUUGAUAUUUUCUAUUUGAUUUGUUCUUUUCUUUCACUAUUCCAUAAUAUAUUAUCAGUACGAUUUUAAUCAAGAGUAACAUUGUAUUAGAUUGUGUCAAAAUUUUGUUGGACUUCAAGUAUUGGAAUUUAAUUGUUUAAGUUAAGAAUCAUUAGAAUCAAUGGCUAUUUGAGAUAUGCUUGAGGAUGAUCUCAUUCUAUUCAUCACAAAGGUGGAGGUUAGAAAAUCUUUAUGUUUAAACAUUUAUAGCUUUAAAGUUAUUUUAACCUCUUAUUGUGACCUUAUAAUAUUUUGUAAUUUUUUGUAUUAUGGUAUAUAAAAAAAAUCUAACCAUAGUGAUUGAUUAGUAAUAUGAAUUUGUUAUUUGUUAUGUUUAAUAUAUAUUUUAUUUAUACUUAUUCAUUUUAUUUUUAUAUGAGUAAAUGAAGUGUUUGAAGAUUCGAAAUUUUUAUCAUCCAAGUUGAAAAUAAGUGCAAAAGUGUACAUUAUUUAAAAUAAAUUACGCAUUCAUUAAUGUUAUAUGAUAAAAUCAUUACAUGUUCUAAAGAACUAAUAUUGCAUCAAACUGUAAAAAGCUCUUGAAGAGUUAAUAUUUUACCUCCUUGUGAUACAAAAUCAUAUACAAUAUGAUAUUAUUUUUCAAAUCGAGUAGAUAUAUGUUGAGGGAAAUCUUUAUGUGGUUUACAUUAAAACCAUGGAUAGAAAUGACAUGAGAUACUCGUGUAUUUUUAUUAUAAAUAUUCCUUGAAGGAAGACACUUCACUUGUAUGAUUGACAUAUGAGAUAGUGGCAAGAAGUUCAUAGUGUUGGUAUGGUCGUCUAGAUCAUCUCAAAUCAAUAAUGAUGCAAAAUAAUUUGAAGAGAAUUUAUAUGAUUUUAUUGAAGAAUGAGAAGAUAUUUUCAUUUUGAUAAUUGUCAUCAAUACUAGUUCUUUGGAAAAAAAAUAUUGAACUAACAUAAAGUUAGAGGUUGGUUGCAUUUUUUGAUGAUAUCCAAAUAAUAUAUGAGCUCAUGUAUCACAUGUAUGCAACCCAAAGUUUACAGUAUUAUUUCUUGAAAUAAUUUGAUUCUACACAAUCUCUAUAGUAUGCAAUUUGUGCUAACAACGUUGGUGCAUUAUAUCCUAAGCUUGAUUUUCGUAGUUUUAGCUGAGAUAAUAUUAAGUUGUCUAUGCCUAUAUAUGUUAUACUUAAUGGUUAGCAAAAUUGUGCCUCCAUUUAAUUGCUUAACCAUUAAUAUAAGAAUAACUUUAAAAUAAGCAUGUAAUUUUAUUUGCAUAGAGUCAACAUGUAAGAAACAUUUGCCCCAUGAGAAUUGGCUUUCAUUUAUAAGCCAAUAGGUUUCAUAUGACUAUUUGGAUGUAAAAUAUCUAUUUUAUAUUCCACCAUAAUGCACUAAGAUGGUCCAUCAAGUAUGAAGUUGAGAAAAUUUAGAAUUUUUAUUUGAUGGUAAAAGUUGAAAAGAGAUAUAUACUUAUAAUUUUGAAAAAAAUAGUCAUGUUGCAAAUUUUUCUCAAUAUUAGGGGGAGACAAGUUGGACAAAUAAGGAUAAUUAUGUCAUCACUUUUUGUGAUCCCUCACUAAUAUUAUGUGCACAAAGUUUGAAGGAAAAAAGUAUUUGCUAGACAUGUUUAGUGAUGACACUUAGAGAUUGUAUAUACUAGAUGAUACAUAUACCAGCUAAAAUGUUCCAAAUAAUUAUGAGUCCUAGAAGGACAUAGUGAUAAAAAUAAUUUUUGGGCACGCUAGAAGGAUAAAAAACUAGUUCAUUCUAUAAAUCAAAAAAUUCUUGAAAGAAAAGAGUAAGAAAUGAAGCUGGCCACACAUUAAAGGAAACGAGUACUCAUGAAGAGACCUAAGGCAUAACUUUUAAUAAAACCCCAAAAGAGGUUCAAUACAUGGAAUUAUGAAUAUAAUAAGAUAUCUCGAUUAGUUAUAUCAUAACUAAAGAUGAUGGGGUUGAUAAAAGGAAAUUGUUGUUAACAACGAUAAUCUAAGUAGAACAUUUCAAUAUUAUGGUAAAAUGAGUAUUUUGAAUGAAAAUAUACUUGAAAGUAUUUAGAUGGGAACAACUCAUCAAAAUAAAUAGACGUUUCUAUUAUAACUUAUGAAAUGUGUCUCGGACAUGAAGUCCAAACAUUCGACAGGUGUAAAGCCAAGUGGAGUAUAUGUUAGCAUAAUAGUGAAAAAAUACAAAUCAUAAUAUAUAAAAUUGACUUGUAAGACAAACUUUCCCAAGACACUUGAUUUUGAUUAUGAAAAAUGAUUAAUUUGUGAUCUUAUCAAUUGAACAUACUUUGUAUAAUCAACAAAUUAUUAAUUAACCUCAUUUAACCAAUUUCCUUCAACACAUUUCAAAUCAAAUUAAUGUGUUGAGCACGCCCUUAACCCUUUUUCUUGAUUCAUUGCAUAGUCUAUUUCCAAGUACCAUAAUCAUCAACAUUUCAAUAUAUAAAGUCAUAACAUAAUGAAUCAUAGUUAGAAUUUUUUUUACCCUAUUAACCAAGUAUGGAACAAAAAUAAAAACCUAAUUUGUCAAGCUCAUUCAAUCAGCUUAUAUAUUAUAAGAAGAGCCUAAGUAUAAAUCCUAUACAUGAUUUCAAAUUCAACUAUUUAUAUUUGAGAUUCAAUUUAAAAUUCAUACUGAAAUUAUCAAAUUAACUCGUAAGCUACUCACGCUAAACAUUAAGGUACUCGAAUUCAAGUGGCUAGAUAUCAUAAACACUUUUAGCUUGUAAAACUAUUUCUAAGGGUCAGCCCAGAAUCAUGGUUGAACCCAAAAUCUGGUAACAAAAAUUUAAUUGAGCCAUCAGCCUAAAACAAAAAAGGCUUAAAAGGUUGGCACCCGAACAAUCAAAGAUAAACACCACCAUAUGCCACUCCCUGAAUCCGAUACAUACAAUAACACCCUUCACCACUUUUAUUCUUCUCCUUUUUUUUAACCUCAAUUUGGAUGGUCGCAUUUCUCUUUUUAGUGCUUUAUAGGGUUUGGGCUUUCAGAAUCCUCAGAGAUGCAAUUCAUGGAUCCCUCUAAGAAAUGCAAGCUUGAUGAAAAUGGUAUUAUUUCAACGGCAUCAGAACCUGACCCAAUCACCAAACUAACCCCACAAGAUGGCCGCAAGCUAAUCGAGCAAUUUAUCGUCGAUCAACUCCUUGACGUCCUCCAAGAUGCUGUUUGUUGUCACCUUGAUGUUCUUUCCGCCGUACACUCUAUUGCCGAUCAAGAUCCAUCUCAAAGGAAGCUUUUCAUCCGUGGUUGGGUUGGGAUACUACAACCCAACCCAACCCACAUUAGCAUACUACCAUGCGGUAACUUCUAGUGAUUUCUGUCUGUAACAUUAGACAGGUUAACAGUUAAAUCGUUCAACUGAAAGAUUUCUUUGAAGGAAGAGGUCAAUUGAUUUUUUUUGGAAUCAUUGUGUACUCAGUUGCAUUUAAGACGGGUAUCAUUCAUAAAGUAUAUAUCUACAUCAAGAAUGGUAGCCUCUUAUAUUAUAUUCAUGUAUUUAUUUUGCAUCUUUAAUUAUAAUAGGAUUUUUUUUGUUUAUUUAUAGUUUUAAUUAUAAUAUUUUUUAAAUAUGCCAAAGUAAAUUAUGUACCAAUUUUAAACUUCUCCUAGGUAAUUUAACGUAAGGGCAUUUAUGUUAUUUUACCACUUAUGAUAAAACUAACCUAAUUUUAGAUCUAAGUGUUUACCAACCUUCUUUUAGUCAAAUUAUGCAAGCCUAAAAUUUUUAGCUUAAUUUGAGUUUGUUUACUAUGUCUAAUUCAAGUUUUAUUAUUAAGAACUAAAUUGUAACUUAAACAAAUUAGAAUACCAAUUUAAAGAGACAAAAAUUCAAAGCCCCAAAACCCACACGGGCAUGUGGGUAAGUGACACAGGCGUGUGGAAACUGGAGCUAUCACACACGGGUGAGUGGGACUGAAAAAUAUGAAAUAAAUUAAUCCAUUUAAAUUUCCAACAACCAUGCUAUACUACCAAACCAAAUAAUGUUAGAAGCUUUGAAUAGGGGCGAAUCUUAAAAAAAAUAGAAGAAUUAGAAUUAAAUUAUAAAAUUUUGAGAAGUUGUCAUGUAUUAAUUUAUUAUUUUUUAAAGGGUCUUAAUAGAUUUUUUUUCCCCAUUUUGGUUUGGCCAAUACCCCUGUCUGCCUCUUUCAAUUUGCUUCAACCCUUAGCCCAAUAUUCGAUUUGUUGUGGAAGUUUGACGCAUAAAAAUUCCUUUUUUAGAGGUUUAAAUUAUAAAUUUUUAUUAACAAAAUAUAAAAGAAAAAAACAUGUGUAGACAAGCCAAGAAACCUUUGGGAUCAUACAGGUGAUUUUGAGAUGUUCAUGGUUAUUUUGGUGGAGAGGGUAAAAAAGAAACAAAUGAUUCAUUAUAUAUGAUAUAAUUAUGAAAUUCAAGCCAUAUAUUGUAUGUUUCAUCCAUACAAAUUUCUUGUAGCAUUAAAUGACUCGUAGGCUUGCUGAAUUUCUUUGAAAGGCCCAAAGGCAAUUUAACAUUCACAAAAUAAUCUCUAAAUAGUGUAAAGACAAAUCAAAUCCACAGUAGCAUUAGAGUUGAUUAAGCUAAGCAUUGGCAAAUAUUACUUUGAUUUUGCAUGCAAUAUUGGCAAAACCCCCUCUUACAUUAGAAAAACAACAUAAUCCAUGAAACAUUGAUAGCCCAAUACAAAUUUCAUCGAGAAAAAAGUCUCUUUGUUUUGUAGAACAUGAUAGUAAAGAUGUGGAGUUUCGUUCUUCUUAUUGGCCUCCUUUAGUUUUCCUUGAUCAACAACCACUAGCCAAAAACACAAUUAGAUUAGAUUAUGAAUGAUACUUUCAACUAUGACAAUAUUAAAUACAAACCACUCUAAAUAACUCUAAAUAAAUGGAAAGCAGCAAAUUACCAGACGAGGCAAGCUAGCUCAAUUAAGACCAUUGUGUUAUACUUGUCUCUGAAUUGAAAAAUUUAGAAGGAAAUAAAGAGAAAGACUUAGAAAAUACUUGAAAACAGAAAAAAAAAUUAUGUCAUUUAAAAUAAAAAAUUUCUAUUCAAGCCAUUUAAAAUUUGUAAGAUUUUUAAAAUUUUAAAAUGAUAAAGGUAAAAUUGUACUUUGGCACCCCAAAAAUGAUAAAACUUUGAUUUAAUUAUUUAAAAAUUAUAAAAAUAUAGGCUAUUAAAAUGGUGAAAUUAUAUUUUUACUAUAGUAAAAAUUACAAUUUAAUUUCACCCCUAAAAGGAUUUUCUGGCUUCGCACCUAAUAAAAUCUUUGGCAAAAGACUAAAAUAAAAUUAUACCAUGAAUGGAAAAAGAAACUAAUAAAAUCCAAUCUAACAAAGAAAAUAACUUGAUGUCCAAAAGCUACCAUAAACCGUAAUUCAUGGGAAGGCUUGUUGCUUAUUUUAUUGGUUUCCAUUUUGAAAGAAGUUUGAAUUUUGAAGAGAGCCUACUACGUGAAAGCAAAAGAAAAAAAAAUAGUUUAUAUGAUUAAAAUUCCAGAAUAGAUUAAAAAUGUUGAAUUAAAGAUAAAAUUAAGUGUGAAUUAAUAACCACAAGUGUACUCUUUACUCACCAUCUCUGUUAAAAAUGUUGGAUGUUGUUUAGCAACCUUUGUUUGAUUUUCUUCAGCUCAACCACAACAUCUUUCAUAUCUUUUCUUUCUUCUGGUAACUCAGCUGAACAAUUCAAAGCCAACUCCAUGAUAGAUGAAAUACAAUUUGCUUUAACAACAAUGUACUCAUCCUCUCUUCUUAAUAAAUCAACAUCUGCAAUUUCUAUCGCUCCUUUAGGCAAUGAUCUUUCCAUCCAAUGCCUUAUACUCUCUUCUUCAACAAAAACCUUAUCAGUUGGCUUUUUCUUUGUGAAAGUUUCUAUAAGGACGAUCCCAUAACUAUAGACGUCAGAUUUUAUAGAAACAAUUCCUGCUGAUCCAAAUUCUGCAUUUCAAGUAUAAUUAGAACAUCAUUCAUCCUCAAUUAUUUCUAAAACGCUUAUUCAAAUAUCUAUCCACAUACACGUGAAACAAGAAUAUAAAAUACAAAUUAGGAAAAUAAUCAUACAAAAAUAAAAAAAAGAAUUCACCUGGUGCCAUAUACCCAAUAGUUGCAAGAGUCAUGGUUUGCUUCAUUACUUCACCUUCUCCCAACAAUUUGGCAACGCCAAAAUCUCCAACAUGUGCAACCAUGUCUUCAUCUAGUAAAAUAUUGCUUGGUUUUAUGUCACAAUGAAUUAUAGGUGUUGGAUGUCCAUUGUGGAGGUGUUCUAUAGCUACCGCAACAUCUAUCAUUAUGUCGACCCUUUGUAUGAUACCAAGGAAACAAUUUUCAGAAUGUAACCAUUUCUCAAGGUUUCCAUUAGACAUGUAAUCAAGCACCAAGGCUUUGAAGUCAACACUUGAGCAGUAAGUAAUGACCUUCACAAUAUUACGAUGAACUAUAUUAAGCAUAGCAUCACAUUCAAUGUCAAAACUCCUAAAUGCUCCCUCUGUUUGCAAAUUGAAAACUUUUAUUGCAACUUCCAUUCCAUCUGAAAGCCUCCCUUUAUAUACAUAUCCAAAACUCCCUGAACCAAGCGUAUUGCUUUCCUCAAAUCCAUUAGUUGCUCGUGAAAGUUCAGCAUGUGAAAUUCUUCUCAGUGUCUUCAAAGACAACAAAUCAUCUUUAACUGGUAGAGCUGUACUCCUUUGGCAUCUUCUAUACAUAAUAGUUAAGACUAUUAGUACUAGGACAAUACCAAUUGUUGGUAAACCAUACCUAAAAGCAUGCAAUAUAAUCAUUUGGGAGUUUUUGUGGAUGUCAUUUUUGCAAGGUGGGACUAGCAAUCUAGGUGGACCACAAAGUGCACAAUUAUUCAUGAAUGAUGUGCUAGAAAAGUUUGAAAAACAUCCUUUGCUGGGAAUUUCCCCUUCAAGUCUAUUGAAAGACACAUUAAAAUACUUUAGAUAUAAAAGCUUUUCCAAAGAUUUGGGAAUGACUCCAGAGAGAUUGUUAUUGCAUAAAUCCAAGAAUUCCAAACUAAUCAACCCAUCAAAUGAUUCAGGGAUAUGACCAUGUAGUAUAUUAUUUGAUAAAUCUAAUGAAACCAAAGUUUGAAGACCCCCAAAUGUGGAUAAGAUAUCGCCCAUGAGAAGAUUCCUUGAUAAAUUUAGUCUCAGUAGACUCCUAAAGUUUCCAAC
This 61609-nucleotide long non-coding RNA is filed under the name Gossypium barbadense (sea-island cotton). Its description in RNAcentral is "long non-coding RNA (GBAR_LNC016635)". The record is from RNAcentral. Lineage: Eukaryota; Viridiplantae; Streptophyta; Magnoliopsida; Malvales; Malvaceae.